This 46258-nucleotide long non-coding RNA is filed under the name Panax ginseng (ginseng). RNAcentral's name for it is "long non-coding RNA (PGIN_LNC003981)". Lineage: Eukaryota; Viridiplantae; Streptophyta; Magnoliopsida; Apiales; Araliaceae. The record is from RNAcentral.
CGUGUGCUACUGUGCAACCACGCGUAUUACUGUAUUUUAACCACCAGGUAAUCCAACAGUGUUAACGGUAACAAUUAUAUCGUUAUUUAUAAAAACUCAAAUUUGUCGUUUUCUUCAUCCGCCAGUUAUUCUGUUAUAGGACCCACAAAUGGUUGCGCCGUUGUACGAAUAUUCCCUGACAACAAGAAUAUUUCACGACCAAACGAAUAUUCCCCGACAAAAUGAAUAUUUUAUAACCACUUGCUUAUUUUGCAAAAUUUGCACAUUUCACCCAUAACCAAAGUAUUAUGUCAAAUUAUCACCUUAUUAUUUCAAGAUAAUAAAUAGAGAAAUUCAAUUUUAUUUAUAAUAAGUUGGGGUGUUACAAUAGUACCCCAUGAAUAGUACCCCGACACGAAAAAGUGUCCCGAAUACCCGAGUGAAUGAUACUAGAGUGAAUAGUAAUUGGGUGAAUAGUGACCCAUGAAUAGUAACUCAUGAAUAGUACUCCGGCACGAAAAGUGCCCCGAAUACCCAAGUGAAUAAUACUAGAGUGAAUAGUAACUGGGUGAAUAAUAACCCAUGAAUAGUAACUCAUAAAAAAAAUAUACCAAAGAAAAUGAUAUUCCAUGACGAGCACAAAAGAAAUGAUAUCUCAGAUGAGUAUAAUAGAAUAUACGAAACUGCAAAUGGAUUUUCACCCGCCAUGCGGUAAUCCACGUAGACAGAUCAUUUCCACAAUUUAAUAAAGAAUGAAUACAAAGGAUCAUUCACCAUGCAUGCGGUAAUCCACUUAGAUAGGAUAUUCCAACAGAAUAAUAAAGAAUGGAAUAACAGAAGAAUUCACUAUGCAUGCGAUAGACCGCACAGACAGGUUAUUCCCAACAGAAUAAUAAAGAAUGGAACCAGGUCAUGCAUAAUCCGCACAGACAGGAUAUUCCAACAGAAUAAUAAAGAAUGGAACCAGGUCAUGCAUAAUCCGCACAGACAGGAUAUUCCAACAGAAUAAUAAAGAAUGGAAUAACAACAGAAUUCACCAGGCAUGCGAUAGACCGCACAAACAGGUUAUUCCAAUAGAAUAAUAAAGAAUAGAAUAACAGAAGAAUUUCACCAUGUAUGCGGUACUUCGCAUAGACAGGUUAUUCCAACAUAAUAAUAAAGAAUGCAAUACUAGAAGAAUUUCACCAUAUAUACGGUAGUCCGCGUAUACAGGUUAUUCCAACAGAAUAAUAAGGAAUGGAAUAACAAUAGCUCUCUUCAUGAAUAUGAAAGAAAUAAUACCCCUUACCUCAAAAGAAAACUGGAUACUGGAAUAGUGAGGUAGCAGACUUCUCUUCUUCUUUCUCUCUAUAAUUUCUCUCUUUAAUAAUUGCUCUAUAGCUUUAAUGAAUUGGUGAAAAAUAAUAAAGAAAUGACCUUCUAUUUAUAGGAAAAUAUAGUUUUGAUAAUUGCACAUUUUGGGGCUCGAAAUAUUACAGUAUAAUACAUUCCUCUUUUCCUUCAUUUUUAAUUUAGUCCUGCAAGUAUUAUCAAACUUGCACCACCUCCCCUAAUAGUAAAUCAUGUGAAUCAAUAGUUCUAGACAUGUGAAAAUAUGAAUUACAGUAUAGUACCUCCAUCUAUACCUCUAUUUUUAACUUAGUCAUGCAAGUAUUAUCAAUAUUGCACCAUCUCCCCUAAUAGUAAAUGAAUGUGAAUGAAUGUUACACACAUGUGAACAAAUAGUUAUAAUCAUGUGAAUCAAUACCAAUUAAUUGCUCAUUUAUCCGGUUAAUUACCCGAUUAGUCAAUAUAACCUCUAGACAUCAAUUAUUAUCGAAAUAAAUGUCGAUUUCCACUAACACUAAUAAUUCCAACACAAUCGAACUAUCAAUUUCAUCUUUAGUCAACACGAACUUAUUCAUCAUUAAUAUUAUAAUUCACAAUAUUUAACAACCAGGUCGUUCCCAGGAAAGAGGGUGCUUUCUAAUAAGGAUUUCUCCUUAUUGGCGCGCAAUUAGGUGACCAAACCUCUCCUUGACAGAACUUCUAGACAUUGUCAAUAUUGCAAAUAAUAAUAUGAAUAACUUUGCCGUCUCAAUUAUUGAUUUAAUAAUAUAAAAUAUUAUGCAGAUGAUACUGUGACAAUAAUUGAAUCAAUAAUAUAAGAGAUAUGAUGCAGCAAUUACUGUAGCAAUAAUUGAGUAUAACUGAGUAACUUCUCACAUAAGCAUCAAUAAUCAAUACUGUGUGCUACUAUGCAAUCAAGCGUAUUAUUGUAUUUUUAUCACCUAUUAUUUUAUGAAAACUUUCUUACUUUGAAAAAUUUUCACAUAUCACCCUUAACUUUAAACUUUUAUCAAUUUAACUAUUUACCAAAAUAGAAAAAUUGAAUACUUUAAUUUCAUAAAAUUUGGGAUCUCACACCAAUGACAUCAUUUCUUGAGUGGCCGACAUUACUUCGGCAGAAAUCUUGGGUGUGAGAAGUGGUGCACCAAUAGGAUGGUAAUGAAUGUUUCUCACCUCUAGGGCAUGAAAACUGACCAGCUCAACUUCUGAAUUGAAGCUAAUUAAUGGUAUGUCACUCUGUUCAUGAGAUUCUAGCUCAGCAUUAAUAGUGACUAGGCUGUCAUUAAUGAUGUAUUUGAGUUGCUGGUGAAGAAUGGAUGGGAUGGCUCCAGCCAUAUGAAUCCACGGUCUUCCCAAUAGCAGGUUGUAUCCUGAAUCUAUUUUGAGCACAUGAAAAGAUACGCAGAAUGUAUGGGGACCAAUCUCAAUUGGCAACUCAAUCUCUCCGAUAGAAUUUCGUCGGGAUCCAUCAAAAGCUUUAGUAACCGUAUAGCUGCUUCGGAUCCGUUUAAGAUUGAUGUUCAUCUUCACAAAAGUGGCAUAAGGACAUAUAUUCAAAGAUGAACCUCCAUCUAUCAAGACUCCUCCCACCAUAUAUCCGGAGGAUAACACCGCAAUGUGCAACGACUUGCAAUGACCGGUCCCUUCGGGUGGUAUGUCGUCAUCAGUGAAAGAUAUCACAUUGUUAUUAAAAAUGUGACCAACCAGAUGCUGGAAUUUUUCCACAUCCACUGAUUUCGGCAAAUGGGCCUCUUCCAAGACCCUUAGCAAGACCUUUCUAUGAUCUUUGAAAGAGAAAACCAAGUCCAGUAUGGAAAUUUACUGUGGAGCUUCCCUUAAGCUUAAAACCAACUUGGCUUCAUUAUGGCCCAUAAUACGGAGGAACUCUUCAAUCUUCUCCACGGGAAUUUUCCCAUUUUCUUUGAUGGAAGGCUUCAUUACCCGUUGGGGAAGAUAUAGUGGAUUCUCCUUCGACACUGCAUCAAUAGUAUGAGAUGUGGAUCCUUCAGCUUAUCCAUAAUUAUAGGGCAAUUUUUGUAGGCUGACAACAUGAUACUGUGGUCUUAAUGGUAAGUUAAUUGGCUCUGGUGCAGCCACUUUUAAAGGAUUGUCAAUACCUUUGAGUUGGAUUGAUCAUAUGAUGAGUGGUCUGGAAGCAUCAUCAACCUCAGCGGAUAUAACUGCUACUACUUCGUCUUUCCACUUUGUACAAUAUGUAUUCCCACUCUCGAGUAACAAGGUGUCAUCAUAUGCUAUCACCAGGACACCGCUGUCAAUUAAAUUCUGAAUGAGAUGGCGGAGUGCCCAGCAUUCUUCUGUGCUGUGACCAUGAGAAUGGGAGUGAUACUGACAUACUCUAUCAGAAUUAAACCGCCUUGAAUGGGGAUUAAUUGGAGGUAGAAGGGAGGUAAUUCUUCCUUCAUUGAUUAGCAUCUGAAAUAUCUCCUCCAUAGGUUGGCUCAGGUAUGUAAAUUCCCUUCUAUUGGCAAAAUCCCGACGGGCUUUGGCACUUACUCUUUUUGCAACUUUAUACUCCAUUGUUUCCCUUCUUGAAGGCGAUGAUGGAGUAUUCAUAACAAUAGGGAGGAGACUGGCAUGCUCCUGGCUGACUAAUUGGCGUGUGAUUUGGUGUUGAUGGAUCACCAAUUCUGCCAAUUGUUCGACCUGCUUGUAGAGAUCUUUCAUCUUUCGUUCCAUCAUAAACUGGAACUGUUCAUAAUCCCAUUUGUUAGCACCGUCCCUGUUGGUCUGAGAAGAUUCACCAUUAAAAUUGGAACUCUGUCCACUGCUCCAAUUAAUCAUUUUGGCCUCUUCUUCUUUGUGUUGAGGAAGAGGGUUAUCUUGCACAUGGGGUUGAUCGGGCUUGGUAAACACGAUCUCAUCGCUAUCUAUUAAUUCUUGGAUCUUGUGUUUCAAGGCCCAACAAUCUUGAGUAUCAUGUCUCGGUUCCCCGGCAUGAUAAGCACACUUCUGAGUAGCAUUAAAACCCUUCCCAUUCGGGUUGGCUGGUGGAAGAAGAUGUGUAAUUUUCUUCUGAGUAGUCAGAAGAGUAAGGAUAUUCUCGAACGAAUCCCCUAAGGGUGUGAACACCCGAGGGCGUCUGACUUCUCCACACUUAGGCAAUGGAGGGUUUGAAGAUUGGGCUUGCAAAGGGGAGUAGUUUCUCCUCUGGAUAGGCAUAUUCUAAUUGCCUUUCUGACCUUAUAGUAUCAAGGAAACAUCCUCUUCUUUUUAUGGAUACUUCGGGGGUUGUUUCCAUUAGUUCUAGACUAGAUGUGCUCAGCAACUGCUUUAAGAGCGGCUAGGUCUUGCAUCUUUCCUGACUUCAAUCCUAUCUCAGCCAUCUCUCCGUGUUUAAUCAUUUCAAAAAAUGGUUUACCAAUGCCAGCUAAGACUCUUUCAUAGAAAGGAACUAAUUGUAUAUCUAUGAAGUUCAUGACCAUUUCUGAUUCCGUCAUAGAAGGAACAACUUGAGCAGCAAGGCGCCUCCACCUUUGAGCAUACUCUCUAAAAGACUCAUUGGACUAUUUCUUGACCUUGGUAAUCUAGUACCGGUCAGGAGCCAUCUGAGACUGGAAACUGUACUGGGUGAGGAAGGCAUCAGCUAGCUCCUCCCAACUAUGGAUCUUUGAGUUGUCUAAUCUGGUAUACCAUGAAUGGGCUUCUCCAGUUAGACUCUUUUGGAAUAGCUGCAUUCUGAGCUUCUCAUCCUCUACAUAAGAUUCAAGUUCUCCAAUGAACACCUUCAGAUGUGUGUAAGGAUCCCCUAACCCAUCAUACUUUUCAAAGUCAGGAGUCUUGAACUUCUCUUGAUAAUGAACACCAGGGAAUAUACAAAGAUCAACAUAUGAAACACUCCCGCCUGCUCCAAUUCCUUUGAUAGAACGGAUGGUUUCUUCCAUUUGGAGGACUUUCUUCCUGAUAUCACCGGUGUCUAGAUCUUCUUUGAGAUGGGUGUUUUCAGGGUUUUUAUCGGUUGUAACCAACUGAAGUUCUGGAUUUAUUUUAUCCGAACCUUGGGUUCCUCCUUGUAACGACCCCAAAAUUCAUACAAUUUAAUUAUUAACUUCGGUCGUUAAUAACACGUCUACCUUCUGAUUUUACAUCAUUAUUCGAUGUUAAACUUUAUAAAAUGCGGAAUAAUUAAAAAUUUUAUGUCUUCUUACUUAAAUUCCCUGAAUCAAAACCUUUAUCAACUACAUGUCUUUGAAUCAAUCUUAUUUAAUGAUUCACUUUAUCACUAUUAUUAUAUAAAAUUUUACAUUUCAAUCCGAUAACCUUUAUAUAUCAAAUAACUCUAACUGUAGCUUUACAACUCAACAUAAAACUAUACAUCAUAAAACAUUUAAUACAUCUCAUGAAUCUUAAUCAUGGUAUAAAGAAUUUAAAAACUUUAGCUAAAAUAUUAAUCUUCGUGUAUUAUUUUGGAUCCACGUCAUUCAAGUAGCACACAGUGUUACCUUCAAUCCUUAACCUGGAAAAAUGGUUAUUUGAAAGGUUGAGCUCGACAGCCUAGCAAAAUCUAACAGUUUUCAUGCAUCACGUAACACAUAAUAACAUGCUCGACAAAUCUCAUAAACAUUGGACUAACAUAACAUAAAUGUUACAGUUCAUAUAACACAUCAUGCUCUUUGAAAUAAAGAUUUAAAACAAUCAAAUUCACAUAGUAAAUAGGAACUGAAAGACUUGCCUGAUUUGUAGUUUAUAAACUACGACUUAACUGCUUAACGCUUAUCUACACUUCGUGUAAUCCUACACAGUUAUAUAAUCAUGGAUUCACAUCCAUUAGUCAUACAUUCCAUACAUUCUUAAUAUAACAGUAACGUUACAUUAUUUCCUAACUAGGUUUGUAAAAACCAACCUUUCAAAUUCUCAUAAUACUCUUAGAAUAGCUAGGUAUGUAUUGGUAUACCUUAACCACUCAUACAUGACAUCAACAUUCAUAUAUAUCAUUCACACAUUUAACUCACUAUGUGUUCGACACAUAUUUAAAGUUCAUAGAUACGCGAUCUACAUCGUUCUUACAUUUUACAACUUUAAUAAAAUUUAACAACUCUAUGUUUUAUAUAACCAUUACAUGAUCCCAUGCUUAAACAUCAUCUAUGUCAAGUAUUAUAGCUUUAGACAUUCAUUACACAUAUGCUUUAAGGUUCAAAUCAAAGUUAAAAUAAUCAGGCAUCACUGCCCUGUGGCGCAGCUGCGCCCUGGUUAGGCUUAGGGACGACGCAGCUGCGCUGUCCCCUGGCCAGACCAGAGUUGAGUAUUUUCUAGUUCCAUCUUGGUUCUUAGCAUGUAUAACUGUUAACACAUAUCUUACCCACAUGUUAUGAGGUCUUAGCCCAAGUUUGGUGCUUCUUGUAUUUACCUUAAGUUGUUUUACACUUUAUAGCUUUAUUGCCAUUUAUUUCAUGGCUAAGUAAGUUCAUACAACAAGGGCCUAACUAUAUGACCACCCACGAGGUUAAACAACUUUCAAUAUACAUGCUUACAUGUAAUCGUAUGACUAGCAUGGUUUAUAACUUGAAAUCUUACUUUAAGACAUGUAUAGUUCAUAGUAUGUCUAUCUAAUAGUGUGCACGUACCCAUCAUGCCUAGAGGCAUAAAAAUCAUAUCAUGUUUGCACAUAUAAGCCAUGUUUAAAGACCCAAAAGUUACUAGUAUGUCAUCCUACAAGUACAAAAGUUUAGACAAUACAAUGCUCAUGAAUAAUAUUUUUAAAACGUCUAAGUUUCUUUUCAAAACACAUACUAAGUCAUGCUAAUGCUUUUUAUUAUGAGCAAGGAAAUCUUAUACGUCAUGUAUAAUAUCAUUCAUUUUCAUGUUACACCACUUAGAAUAACAUAUUCUAUCGGGAGCACUAUACUUGCGUAUGUGCUAGUUCGACACCCUCCGAUCGCCUUUGAAUACGUAAUAGUCACAAAGAUGACUAUUUUAACCCUUCCUAACAUUCUCAAAUUGAAAAACUUAAAGAACAAAAGUUGUAGGUCUAUUCGUCCUCAUUCCGGACAUCUUGAAUCACCUCAAUCAGAGUUCGUAUGAAAACGUUAUGCUUAAUUUACUAUAGGAGGUCAGAGCAGUCCACCAGUAACUGAUGUCUGGCGUAGCUGCACCCCAAUUGGCCUUAGGGGCAGCGUAGCUGCGCCCUGGGAAGCAGUACAGCCCCUCAGGCUCUGUUCUACACAAUUUUAUAGACCCCAACCCCUUCCGAUGAUCAUAACCCGAGUUAUACUUAUCCAAUUUAGUUCAUUUUUGAUUCUAUAAGUUCGUAACUCAUAAAUCUACAACAUACCAACUACCCAAUAAUUAUCAUAAACAUUAACUAACCCAAAAAUGAAUCUAUAACUCAUUUUCAUACUAGUUGUUCAUGUUUUGACAAUUUAGCGAAUUCAUUAGCUACGAAUUCGUUUCUCAACCAAAUUGCUUCGUUUAACUUUCGUUGUUUUUGCUUCUUCAUAUAUUAUCACUAUCAAACAUCAAUUCAUAGAUUAUAACACAUAUUGGAUAUAAAUUUCUUACUUUCUUAAGCCAUAUCACAUGAAUACACACUAAUAUUUACUUUUCUUCUUCAAACCCAUUUUCCAUGAAUUUAAUACUUUAAAACCAUUUGAAGACAACAUAUAACAGAUUAUGAACCUUCUACAACACAAUUAUCAAAUUCGCACAAUCCCAUAUUAGAAAUUUAGAACAUAAACUUAGGUUUUUAUACCUUCAAUACUUGAUUUCUUUGCAAGAUGGUCACAAGCUUUAGCAAUCCUUCUCCCUCUUCUAGACAAUCUCAGAGAAUUCUCUCAAGCUCUCAUUCUCUGUGUUUUUCUCUCUUCUUCUCUCUUCUUACUCAUCUCUCUCUAUACUCACGUACUCUUCAAUUAUCAAAACCAAAAGACGUCAGCUAAAAAAAACCCCAAAGGCCACAAGGCCUUGUUUGGCUGAACAUAUAAUUCCCAUACUAGUUUAUUUUUAUAACUUCCUUAUUAUAUAGUACCCCAUCGUCACACUUUAUUUAAUUUAAUUACUUAAUAUAAUUCCAAUUUUAUUUAACAAAUCAUUAGCCCCUCUGAUUUAAUUAUUUACUUAAAUUAGGACAUCACCAACACAUUAGCGUAAUAAAAUACGCACAAAUUAUAAAAUUAUUUAUCAUCAAUUUACUUAAUAUUAUCAUACACGAAUAAAUUAUUCCAUAAUAAUUUUCAUCAAAUAUUUACUUCAUUUAAUAAAUAUCUCAACUAAAAUAUUUAUUUUACUUGAUAACUAUCGUAACUAUUCAUAAAAUUCACAAUUAAAUUACAUUAACAUAUUACAUUUAUAUGUAACACAUUACCCUCUCAUUUUAUUAAAAUAAAUAUAUUUACAUUAAUUCACUAUUUUAAUUAAGUGAAUUACUCUCAAUAUUUAUGAAAUUUAAUUCAUAACAAUUCCAUUGCCAAUAAGGCAUAAUAAUCAAAUAAUAUAUUAUAUUUUAAUUAUUAAAUUCCUAUUUUAAUAACUUAUAAAAAUUCGGGUUGUCACAUCCUUCCCUCCUUAUAAGGAUUCCGUCCUCGGAAUCACCGAAACCCUACCUUACUCAGGUUUUCAUCAAAUCUCUUCGUUGAAUAACUUCAACACAUUACCUUAAUAUAGGUUUUAUACUUCCUACUCCCACCAUUCUUGAUAAUAAGUUUUUGUAAGUUUUAUUUCAUAACUUUCACUUGAACUCAAUUAUAUUUGAGUAUUAUAUAUUCUUUAACCCAUUCAUUUCCUUUUCUAAAGAUCGUUAUCAUAAACACUCGGGAUAUUACACUCCUUGUGUAGAGGAUUCUGUAUGUACGGGUAUCCGGGAACCCUAAGUAGACUGGUGUAGUUCUUUAAGCAGAACAACCAAAUCUGUAAUUUCUUUACUUAAUCCGUCAAAUUCUUCAUGAGAAACAGGAUUAAGAUUAAACUGGUCAGAUGAAGACAUAAUUGGCUGUAGGCUCGUGGCCUUUUUGGAUUUUGAGCGGGUAACAGGCCCAAUUGUUUCCCUACAAAAAGACUUGCAUAGUUUAGUCUUAGGGAAUGUAUAAAUGUUUACAUGAUAUGUAAUGUAUCCGUUUUAGGAAUAUUACCCUGCAAAAUGGAUGUUAGCUGUUUGCAAUACAGGAUAACAUGUUAAUUAUUUAAAUAUGCAUAUACACAUAUUUCUUCAUAUUUCCCAUUACAUGGAGAUUGAUAUGGAAUGAUAUUACAGUUAAAUGAUUUUACAAGUAAUUGAAAAUAGAAAGUAUGAAGAGACUUUCCUCCGCAUUUAGUUUAACAGAGGCUGAUCUAUCUUAGGUUUACUCUCGUGGCUUUUUGGCAUGAAGGUUCCCAGAUCAUCGCAAUCUACUUGACGGAAAAUUAAUCCGGUAUUUCAACUGGAGCGAAUCUGGGUGGUUCUUUUCCUGAGCCUCUUUGGAAUUAGUCUCCCUACGAGUCCAGUAAUCAAACACCAACAGGAUAGCCCCCUAGUGGAGGAACCACACAACAUACAUUCACAUACAACGUUUCUCACCGUUUUAUAAAAAUGAUGACAUGUGUGAAGCGCUAAUAUCAUAAGCAGAUAGAGUGUAAAGCAUUAAGUGCAGUAAAUAUAUGCAUUCGUACACAUUCAUCAAAAUGUAAAUACAACAUCCACACACAAGCACAUAAUAGUUUUGAAAAAGAUUGUAGUAACGACUUAAGCCCUCUUACCGGUGUCCCCAGCAGAGUCGCCACCUAUCGACGUCGGGAUUUUUAUCUGUCCCUUUUCUAUUCUUGUUCUUUGGUGUUCUCAUGUUAGGUGAGAUUUGUUUGAAAAAAUAAGUGCAAAACGUCCGACAUUUAUAUGUCGACGAUUUAACUGUAAGAGUCGCCAGUUGGUGUUUUUUACUGGUUGCACCAACGCAAGCGAGAAAAACUUUGCACAUUGACCAGUGAUGUGACACUGCUAAACGGGUCUGUGAAACUGAGAUUCAUUAGGGUCCGGGGGCUUGAUUAUGAGGAGGGAAGGUGUUAGGCACCCCCCGACAUUCGUAUUACCACGGUGACCGCCACUUUUCAAGAAAUUGUUAUGUGAAUGUGUAUGUGUGGGUCAAUGUGAAGUUAUUUGGAAGUAGUGUGAGGCCUCGUUCGCACCUAUAUACAAAGGGUUUGAAUUUGUGUAAAAAUUCAGUUUUAAACAAGAUAUAGCAGUGAUGUUUUGUAAGAGGUUUUUCAAACCCUUAUGCUCAAUAGUAAUUGAGGCCUUUGAUACUUCCAUUUUAUUAUAUGUUAGGCUUGAUUGCUUUUAUUUUUGAGAUGCGAAGAAUCUUCGAGAAAAUAAUGUACAAAGCAGUGUCGAACUCCUCAUGGGCAUGAAAGCCAUCUAAGGAAGUCCAAACUCCGUGAAUAAUUUACAAGCUGCUUAUAGCUGAAAAUGUCCAUCCUGGGAACCGAAUCUAGAUUCAGUAUACUGAAUCUGUGAUCACAUGAUUCCUAGGCUCACAUUAUGCCACAGUUUAUACGAAAGCAGUAAGCAGUUUUAUAUAUAACAGCUGUAAAUAUAUAUAUAUACAAACAUGAUCAACCACCACAAAGCACCUCCAUCGGGGAUCGGAAAUGUAAAUAUAUAAAAGCGAAAAAUAUAUAUAUAGAGACAUGAUCAACCACCAUAACACACCUCCAUUGGGGAUCAAAAAUGUAAAUAAAGCAGUAAAAACACGAUCAACCACCAUGAAGCACCUCCAUGGGGGAUCGAAAAUGUAAAGAAAGCUGUAAAAAUGAUCAACGGCCACGACGUAAACUCCAGGCAGGACUAAAUGUAAAGAAAACAGAAAAAAAGAUCAACCGCCACGACGUAAACUCCGGGCGGGACUGAAUGUUAAGAUAUAUAUAUAUAUAUAUAUAUGUGUGUGUGUGUGUGUGUGUGUGUGUGUGAUGCCCCCAAAAUAGGUAUACAUCACCCAUCUUGAGUCGCCAAAUACAUGGUACAAAAUUCAAAUACAACUUAAUUAUACAACAGUCGUGUGAAAUACGACAAAAUAUAAUCUAAGAGUUUUAAUAAGAAUAUUGUCAUCUAGAUAAUAUCCACACUCAAUGGAGUCCUCAUUACAUUUACUGUCACACUAUUUAACAGAAUAGUGAGGACUACUAAUGCUAUCAUCUGGACCAUCACUCCGUUCCCCGACUAGUCCCGACUACGUUCUCAUUUCCUGAAGAGAACAGUGAAAGAAAGGGUGAGCUCGACUAGCCCAGUAAGAAAUAUUAUGACUAAGAUAAUGCAGAAUAAAUUAUCAUUAGUCUUCAACAAUGUUAAACUGAUAAAAUACAAUAGACAUCAAGUUUAACUGCAGCGGAAUAAGCAAUCCAUUAGAAGAGUCAAGUAGAGCAUGAUAUCUACUAUCUUCUAUGAUUUAAAAUGUUUUCAUUAAUUUUUAUCGCUGAGACUCAGCUUAAUAAAUAAACCACAUCAUCGAGUCAUCCCUACACUAUGGGCCAAGGAUAUUCAUUAAAUCAUCAAUGGUCAUGACUAUACCGAAUAAUCCCUGGUCAUAAUCAUACCAAAAAUACUACAGGCUAUUGAGGACUUUUGCCACAUCAUUUAUAACAGUAUAGGUCAUGAUUAUACCGAAUAAUCCUUGGUCAUAAUCAUACCAAGUCCAUCUAUGCACGUAAGCCAAAGAUGACUUUCAUCACAAUAUAAGCAUGAGGAUGAUGACAAUGACAUAAUAAUUCAAUAAAACAAGUUCAUUAAUAAAUUUUAAAGAUUUAUAAGUUAAAUUUAUCUUGAAAUCAAUUACGUCCAAAUUGUCAACAUGAUACUACUUUGUGAGUAAAAUUCAAGAAUGCUCAGAAGAAUAUUUCCAUAAAAAGAUACCAGAUGAAGCGCAAAUAUCUAGGAUAUUCUACUAAUUUCAUGGAGUAUAGAAGCCAAAACGUUAACCAAAUGAGUAUCAUAGAAUAUAUGAAACUGCAAAUGGAUUUUCACCCGCCAUGCGGUAAUCCACGUAGACAGAUCAUUUCCACAAUUUAAUAAGGAAUGAAUAAGAAGGAUCAUUCACCAUGCAUGCGAUAAUCCACAUAGACAUGUUAUUCCAACAGAAUAAUAAAGAAUGGAAACAGGUCAUGCAUAAUUCGCACAGACAGGAUAUUCCAACCAAAUAAUAAGGAAUGGAAUAACAGAAGAAUUCACCAUGCAUGCGAUAGACCGCACAGACAGAUUAUUCUAACAGAAUAAUAAAGAAUGGAACCAGGUCUAGCGUAAUCCGCACAGACAGGAUAUUCCAACAGAAUAAUAAAGAAUAGAACCAGGUCUAGCGUAAUCCGCACAGACAGGAUAUUCCAACAGAAUAAUAAAGAAUGGAACCAGGUCUAGCGUAAUCCGCACAGACAGGAAUAAUAGCCCUUACCUUAGAAAGAAACUGGAUACUGGAGUAGAGAGGUAGCAUACUUCUCUUCUUCUUUCUCUCUAUAAUUUCUUUCUAUAAUAAUUUCUCUAUAGCUUUAGUGAAUUGGUGAGAAAUGAAGGAAGAAUGAGCUUCUAUUUAUAGGAAAAUAUAGUUUUGAUAAUUGCACGUUUUGGGGCUCGAAAUAUUACAGUACAAUACCUUCAACUUUUCUUUCAUUUUUAAUUUAGUCCUGCAAGUAUUAUCAAACUUGCACCACCUCCCCUAAUAAUAAAUUAUGUGAAUUAAUAGUUCAAUCAUGUGAAUCAAUUGUUAUAAACAUGUGAAAAUACAAAUUAUAGUAUAGUACCUCCAUCUAUACCUGUAUUUUUAACUUAGUCAUGCAAGUAUUAUCAAUCUUGCACCAACUCCCCUAAUAGUACAAGAAUGUGAAUCAAUAGUACCCACAUGUGAAUAAAUAGUUAUAAUCAUGUGAAUUAAUAGCAAUUAAUUGCUCAUUUAUCCGGUUAAUUACCCGACUGGUUAGUAUAACUUCCAGACAUCAAUUAAUAUCGAAAUAAAUGUCGAUAUCCACUAACACUAAUAAUUCCAACACAAUGGAACUAUCAAUUUCAUCUUUAAUCAACACGAACUUAUUCAUCAUUAAUAUUAUAACUCACAAUAUUUAACAACCAGGUCGUUCCCAGGAAAGAUGGGGCUUUCCGAUAAGGAUUUCUCCUUAUUAGAGCGCAAUUAGAUGACCAGACCUCUCAUUGACAGAACUUCUAGAUAUUGUAAAUAUUGCAAUUUAAUAAUAUAAAUAACUUUGUCGUCUCAAUUAUUGAUUUAAUAAUAUAACAUAUUAUACAGAUGAUACUGUGACAAUAAUUGAAUCAAUAAUAUGAGAGAUAUGAUGCAGCAAUUACUGUAGCAAUAAUUGACUAUAACUGAGUGAUUUCUCACAUAAGCAUCAAUAAUCAAUACCGUGUGCUACUAUGCAACCACGCGUAUUAAUGUACUUUUACUACCGGGUAGUUCAACAGUUUUAAUGGUAACACUUCUGCUGUUAUUUUUAUAAAAAGAUAAUUCUGUCGUUUUCUUAUUACGACAAUACUUCCGUUGUGGGGUCCACCAAUAAUUGUGCCGUCGUAUGAAAAUUCCCUGUUAAAAUGAAUAUUUCCCGACCAAUCGAAUAUUAUAUAACCACUUGCUUACUUUGCAAAAUUUGUAAAUAUUACCCACAACUAUAACAUUAUAUUAUAUCCACACCAUAAUAUUCAAAAAUAUAUUUCGAGAGAAAUUAAUCUUUAUUCAUAAAAGUUGGNNNNNNNNNNNNNNNNNNNNNNNNNNNNNNNNNNNNNNNNNNNNNNNNNNNNNNNNNNNNNNNNNNNNNNNNNNNNNNNNNNNNNNNNNNNNNNNNNNNNNNNNNNNNNNNNNNNNNNNNNNNNNNNNNNNNNNNNNNNNNNNNNNNNNNNNNNNNNNNNNNNNNNNNNNNNNNNNNNNNNNNNNNNNNNNNNNNNNNNNNNNNNNNNNNNNNNNNNNNNNNNNNNNNNNNNNNNNNNNNNNNNNNNNNNNNNNNNNNNNNNNNNNNNNNNNNNNNNNNNNNNNNNNNNNNNNNNNNNNNNNNNNNNNNNNNNNNNNNNNNNNNNNNNNNNNNNNNNNNNNNNNNNNNNNNNNNNNNNNNNNNNNNNNNNNNNNNNNNNNNNNNNNNNNNNNNNNNNNNNNNNNNNNNNNNNNNNNNNNNNNNNNNNNNNNNNNNNNNNNNNNNNNNNNNNNNNNNNNNNNNNNNNNNNNNNNNNNNNAUAUAUAUAUAUAUAUAUAUAUAUAUAUAUAUAUAUAUAUAUAUAUAUAUACAAACAGAAAUAAAACCACGGACCAAAGUCCGGGCCUAGACAUGCAACACAACUCUCAACGUGAAGAAUAGUGUGUGUAGAGAUGAAGAAAAAGGCUUUAAAGUGUGUAAGAAGGCUUAUAGUGGACUGCCAAAGAAGAAUUUUAUAGCUUUAAAUAGAUGAAUACUCGGCUCUCAUCGGUAAAAAUAUGACUGACUAUAAGCUCACAAGUGUUUAAAAUGGGAAAGCACUCAGUUUAGGGUGUGUACAGAGCAAAUUGGACAGGGCUUCCUCGCCAUUUUCUCUUACAAAAUUGCCACCCAAAGCCCUCUAUUUAUAGAGGGGGGAGCCGCAGGUACACUUGCGGCAGCCGCAGAUGCACCUGCGGCUGCCCGGGGUGCCCCGGGCUCCACGGGUCCCGCCGUCUCGAAGUUUGUGCACGCAUGCAACGUGAUGUCUGCUCGAGCUUUUGGAACUUCAAUCCGGGCAUCUGAUUGAGGUGUAUAAGACCUGUUUCAGACUUCCGUUGUCGAGAGCUAUGCAUUGACAUGGGAUUAGAGGUUGUACAAAGUCAAGAAGAUGGAACCAUGUCCUUAGUCUUCAAGCUUCAAAUUCUAUCUGGUGUGCUGCCUUGUGUAGUAGUCACUCGGGAUUGGAACUCCUUGAUUCUUGUGGGACAUUGCUGUGUAGAAUGUAUGUUGAAAUAUGUUGUUGAGACGGCGCAAUGUGGGGUUGAGGUGGAAAAAUAAUGAUUUUACCCCUCACCGGGGUUAUCUCCGGUUUGGGAUGAUAAAGAAGACGUUACUCAGGGUUAUCUCUGAGAUUGGGCUGCUGCAAGUGCUAAAUGUCCUCAGGGUUAUCUCUGAGGUGUGCAUGUCCUUCCGGGGUUAUCUCUGGGACUGUAUCUGAGUGCCUCGGUGUUAUCUCCGAGGUUGAAGCUGACUGCAUGAGUUAAGACGAGCAUCUCCAGGGUUAUCUCCGGAACUGCAACUGCACUCCUCGGGGUUAUCUUCGAGGUUGACAUUAUCUUUCCUGGUGUUAUUCUUGGGACUGAGACUGAAUAUCUCGGGGUUAUCUCUGAGAUGAAUUGGCCUUCUCCGGUGGAAUUUCUGGUAUUUGCACUGCAUUCCUCGGGGUUGUCUUCGAGGUUGGAACUGAUACUCCCGGUGUGUUUUUCGGGGUUUGAAACUGAACUUCCAGUGGUAUUUCUGGGAUUGAGCUAAGCUAUCUUCCAGGGUUAUCUGUGAAAGACGAUUCUGCCCUUCCUACAAUGUUAGUAACAGGUAUGCAGAAAAUUUUGAGUGUCUACAGUAUUUAUACAGGACAUGUAUUGAAAGAGGGAAAGAAUGUUGAGACUUCCUUUCAUUUGGUUUAUCAGAGGCUAACCUAUCUUAGGUUACUCUCACGGGCUUUUUGGCAUGGAGGUUCCCAUAUCAUCGGAAUCUACUAGAUGGGAAGUUAAUUCGAUCUUUCAAAUGGAGCGGAUCUGAGUGGUACCUUUCCUGAGCCUCACUUGAACUUAAUCGCCAUUGGAGUCCAGUAAUCAGUAACCGACGGGUUUGCCUCCUGGCGGAGGAAUCACACAACAUACAUUCAUCAUGUCUCACCGCAUGCAAAAUGAUGACAUUGUGCGAAGCACUACUAUAAAGCGUGGAAAAGAGACAUUCAUAUCCAUUCAAUAUAAAGACGUCAUUUCACACACAUGCUCAAAGAAGGGAAUAAAAAAGAUUGAAAUACAGCUUUAGCCCUUUACUAUCCCCAGCAGAGUCACCACCUAUCGACGCCGAAAAGAUUUCAUCUCCCUUUUCCUAUAUGUUUCUUACCCUUUAUGUUUUCUCUAUGUGAGUUUGUUUGGUCUGAAUGGUGAGAUUUUUAGGAAAAAGGCCGACAUAUAAUGUCGACGAUUUGAAUUUUUUUGAUUAUUAUAGGUCUGAAUUAGACAGAUUCACCAGUUGGUAUGAGAUAAAUACUCAAUCGAGUUUUGAAAGAUUUUACAAUAUGGCCCAAUAUUGGACUCUGUUUAAUUGGUCUUGGAAACCGAGAUUUCAUAGAGUCCGGGGGCUUGAUUAAGUGGGGGGGAGGUGCUAGGCACCCCCCNNNNNNNNNNNNNNNNNNNNNNNNNNNNNNNNNNNNNNNNNNNNNNNNNNNNNNNNNNNNNNNNNNNNNNNNNNNNNNNNNNNNNNNNNNNNNNNNNNNNGAAGGUGUUAGGCACCCCCAACUUCUGUGAAACACGGUUAUCGCACUUUUUGUUCCCUAAUUUGUAUGUAUGUGUGUAUGUGUGUAUGUGUGCAUUGCAAUUAAUUGAGCCUAAGUGCUUUAUUUGGAAGUAGUGUUAUGCCUCUUUUGCACCUAUAUACAAAGGGUUUGAAUUGUAUAAAAGUUUAAUUUUAAUACAAGGCAUAUAAAAUGAUAUUUUGAAAAUAGAUUUUCAAACCUUUAUGCUCACAUAGUAAUUGAGGCCUUUGAUACUUCCAUUUUAUUCUGUAUUCGGCUUAUUUUGAUUUUAUUCUCGAGAUACGAAGCAUCUUCAACAAAAUAAUAUAUAUAAGUGUUGGGCUCCUUAUGGGCAUGAAAGCCAUCAAACGACUUUAAGCGCCUUUAUGAACAACUUCCACCGGUUAAAACUUGAUAUGUUGUAGUAUAUAUGUAUAUAAAAAGAAGUUUUACAAAAAUCAGAGCACGAUUCGAGCUCCAUUUAGCUAUUCUAACCUCUAUUUCUCUCGCACGAGCCCUCUUCUUUCUUAACCUUUGCUUGGAAGCCAAGGGGUUGAGGGUGUAUAUAUAGACCCAAGUUUCCACGGGUCUACCUUUUCUCGUGGUACGUGCACUCUGACCAAUGCGCUGUCUACUUGAACCUUCAUAACUUUUAAUCCGAGAAUUUGAUGGAGGUGUGCUAUAACUUACCGAAAAGCCCUUUCGAGAGCUACAAAAUGACAUGGGAUUUGACAUUUUCUGAAUCCGGGAAGACGGGUCCAUGACCAGAUCAUCAAGUCUUCACAAUCAGUCCGUUGAGCUGUCUUGUGUUGUUUUUACUCGGGAUUGUUGUUAUGGUUAUGCAUGACCUUCUUCAUGGUAAUUUGAUUAGUUUUGAUGUUAAUUUGGAAAAAUUACUCUUUUGCCCUUUCAAGUUGAUUUCUGGGCUUGAUAUGUUACAGCUGUCUUUCCUCAGGGUUAUCUCCAAGGUUUGACUGCUAUCAACUCUUGUCUAUCUUCAGGGUUGUCUCUGAAGUUGAUUUGAUGAUUUCUCGGUGUUGUCUCUGGGUUUUGGUUUUAUGAUUUCCCAGGGUUGUCUUCGGGGGUCUGGUUUGAUAAUUUCUCGGGGCUGUCUCUAGGGGCCUGGUUUGAUGAUUUCCCAAUGUUGUCUCCGGAGAUCUGGUUUGAUGAUUUCAACUUCCAAGGUUGUCUCUGGAAGACGAAAGAUGAUUCUGCCCUCCUGUAUAGUUAGUAAUAGGAAUGUAAAAUUUCAAGUGUCUACAGUUAUCAAACAAUUUUUUAGAUUCAAAUGUUAUUUCAUUCAGAUGAUCUAAUUUAUUAAGAUGUAUUUGUUGGAAGUUGCAUAUUUAAAUUUGAUGUUUGAAUAAAUAAAUGUGCAUGCAUUAUCAAAAGAUGUAAAGUUCUUAUUAGAUCAUAUGUACAAGGACUUAGAUUAAAGAUCAAAGUUGUUAAGUUGAUCUAAGCUUAAUGUUUAUCUUUUUAUAAAAUCUUUUGUAGUAGAAAGAUCAAACUUGUUAGGUUGAUCUUAUGAGUUAUAAUAGAUAGGACCAGGACAAAAUCGAAGUCUGGUAAGCAAGCAAGAUAUUUCAGAAGACAACGUAGAAUCGUAAUCUGCCGAGCAAGCCUCUCGGGAUCAUAGAAGUAGUUUAACGAGUACUUGUCGAGCUAAGUCAAAAAUCGUAGGUGCAGCUCAAAAUCGUGGAAUCUUUAAUGCGUCACUGAUUAAAAUCAUAGUCAGUCAAGCGUUGUCAAUGCUAAGACAUCAGAGGCCGUUCAGAGUAAAUAGCCUACAAACACUUAUCAAUAGACCAUGAUCGUAGUGUCUAUCAGUCAGCAUCAGAAUCGUCGAAGUUCAAUUGUCUGAUGAACAAAAAUGUCUGACAGUAAUGACUUAUAUUUGAACGUCGAUUUUUGAGAAUCCCAAUGCUCUCACAAACAUCCCUGACCUAAAUCGAAGAGCCAGAAGGAAAAAGAAAGGUGACAUUCAACUGGUCUAAUGAAAGUGACUUUUCAGAUAUAGUAGGUGAGAAAACAGCCUGCUGUGUUAGGCAAGUCAGAAAAGAGUGUUCACAUAAUCCUAAGAUGUCAACAUCAAGAUCCCAGAAUAUCUAAAGCAUUAAAUGCUCCAACGGAAGCUUCUCAACGGGAAGAUUUUAAAGGCUCCUACAUAAGGCAAACAAAUUGAAGAUUAUAGACAAGCAAGAACACACAAAUCAUUAGAACAUCUAUCAAAUUCUCACUCUAUGAAUUUGAAGAGAAGUCUUGCUCAACUACUAAGUUCUUUAGAACUUAUGCUUAAGGAAACUUAGUAGCACAACAUCAAAAAAACUUUCAUAAUAGAACUGCCAAGUCUGAUGGACUUGAAGAGUAUUCAGGGUAAUAUUGAUCCAAGUCUGUUGGGCUUAAAGAGUUCUUAGUGAACUACUGUUCCUAGACUGCUGGUCUUAAAGGAAUCUCAGUGAUUCGAAGAUUUUAUCAAUAUUCUUAGUGGAUUUCCUACUCGUGCAGUAGAAGAGUGGACUAGGAGUCUUGAGUGCUCUGAAUAACUAAAAACACUGUGUCAUUUACUUUCAGUCUCUUUAACUACUAUAUCUGUUAUAACUGUUAUUUAAAUUAUAACUUUUGUUUUAUCUUAAAGGGGAAAAUUAAUUCAUACAUUCCACUGUGGUUAAUUAAUUAUUUAAUUAACAAAUCUGUUAAGUUACUCUUUGAAAAGAAAAUUAUUUUAAAUAUAUAUUCAACCCCCCUCCCCUUCUAGAUAACUUUCGUGCCUCUAGAAACUAACAAUUAGUAUCAGAGCAUGUUCUCUCAACUAAAGCAUACAAAGCUUGAGUAGAUCAAUGGCACACAUCAUAAGCGAAUUUAAGCUUGAUGGAGGCAACAAACCACCAAUGUGCAACAAAGAUAAAUUUGCCAACUAGAAAGUUCGAAUACAAGCUUACAUGGAUUUAAUAGACGAUAAUUUAUUUGAAACAGUACUGAAUGGGCCCCACAUUCCUAUAAAGCUUGGACCAACUCCUGACGAUCCAAACUGAAGAUAAAUUACGAUAAAGUCAGAAUGGAUUGACAAUGAGAGGAAAGCAGUCCAACUAGACAAAAGGCCAAAAACAUUCUUUUCCAGUCAUUAGAAGAUAACCUAUUUAAAAAUGUGGUCAACUGCAAAACAGCAAAGGAAGUCUGGGAAGCAUUACUCAUCAUACAUGAACGAACUAAAGAAGUAAGAGAGAAUAAGCAAUCUUUACUCACUCAAUAGUACGAGAUGUUCACUCAUAUACCAGGAGAAAACAUUACUUCAAUUUAUGAAAGAUUUAAUGUAUUGCUCAACUCUCUCUGAGCUUUUGGAAAGAUCUAUCCCUACAAAGAUCUCAUCAUCAAAUUCAUGAGGGCCUUACCAAGCAAGUGGGAUGCAAAGACAACAACCAUCAGAGAAUCAAAGAAUCUUAAUGAGAUGAUUGUGCAACAACUAUACGGGAAUCUUCUCACCUAUGAACUGCAGCUAACUCAACAUGCAGAAGCUCUAUCAGAAGGAAAGAAAAAGGGAAAAGGAGUGGAUCUCAAAGAAAAAGAAGCCACCUCUAAGGCUCGAGUCAAUGAUGGGUCUGACAUUGAAAAAGACGAUGAUGAAGAUGUUUCUAUGCUGAUCAGAAAGCUUAAAAGAUUCAUGCGUAAAGGCAGAAGCAACAGACCAAAGAUAUUUAACAGUAGAAACAACUAGGAGAAGACUAAAGACUUGUGCUACAACUGUUAGAAGCCAGGUCACUACAUUGUUGACUGCAACAAACCUCCUAGAGAAGAACUAAAGAAGAAGUCAAACUCGAGGAAAGAAUUCAAUGGUUAUAAUAAGCCUCAGAAGAAAGACAAAGGCCUGGUAGCUGAAGGAUCAUAGAGUGACUCAGAAAAUGAUACAAACUCUAAGUCAGACGAAGAUAACAAACCUCAAGUGGUCAACCUAUGUUUAAUGGCCAAGGAAUCCAAAGACAAGAAAAAUAGUGAAAUCAGUAUUGAUGAGGUAUUUGUUUUCAACUCUCCUGAUGUGAAUAUUGAUGAUUUAAGAACUGAAUUACAUGAUAUAACCUUUGAUCUACAUCAAUACAUGAAAUGGUUUAGAGCCUUAUCGAAAGACUAUUCUCUUUUUCAACAAGAGAAAGAAAAAGUUCAAGUGGAACUGGAGACAGUUCUGCUAAGCACUUCCUUUCUCUCUAAUCUUAAAACUGAGAAUAAGAAUUUAAAACAGACAAAUGAGCUAAGUGAACAAAAUGAGUUGAACCUAGCUUAUAAAAUUCAUGAGUUAGAAAAGACGAUCCAAAUAUGGAACAAGUCUUCUUCAUCUAUGAACUCUCUGAUCUCUAGUCAGAGGAAUUCUUCUGACCGAUCAGGUGUCGGUUUUGAGGACUCUCCCUCAAAAUUAAAUGUGGAAAAGUCUUUGGAAACUAACACUAGUAGUGCUUCUAAUCUAAAUAGAAGUAUUACUUUUGUGAAAUCCACAUAAAGUGCAGAGCCAAUAAAUUCUUGCACUUCUAAUCCAAGUAAUGUCCUUAGACAUAACAGAUCUCAUGCUGGUCUAGGAUUCAGAAAAAUCAAGAGUAAAUCAACUGCUACUCUCCAACCUCGAAGGAUCGUGGGGUCAAAUAAAACCGGCUCCACGAACCAACCAGGAAGGAAUUGUAGACUUGAGAUGUACUCUACAAAAUCUCUGAAUCAUAGAACAAUAUGUAAAAAGAAGAAUCAGCAUAAGGAUAAGGCUACCUAUCACCCACAUAUGUCCAAGAUAAGAAAGAAUCCACACACACACACAAGCAUGCAUCACACUAAAUGUUUUAUAUGUAAUAGAUAUGGUCAUAAGUAUGCAGCAUACUAUUAUAAUCCUGUAAAUCAUAGACCUAAAAUCAAGCAGAUUUGGGUCCUCAAGGGAACUAACAGGGAAGGACCCAAACAAGUCUGGGUACCAAAAUGAAAGCUAAAUUUUACUAUAGGUACAAAGCUCCACUAUGACAACCUGAUACCUUGAUAGUGGAUGCUCAAGGCAUAUGACUAGAAACAAAGCUCCUCUUUCUAACUUCAAAGAAAAGGACGGUCCAACAGUCAUUUUUGGUGACAACAGCUCUGGCAAAACCAAAUGAUAUGGCUCAGUUGGAAAUGGUGUUGUGUCUUUCAGUAAAGUAGCUUAUGUUGAAGGUCUGAAGCACAAUCUCUUGAGCAUCAGCCAACUUUGUGACAAAGGAAAUCAAGUCACCUUCCUUAACAAUCAAUGUCAAGUUAGAGUUUUGAAGACCUUUUCUCUAAAGCUCAUUGGAAUCAGAGAAGGAAAUGUCUAUGUUAUCAACCUUGCUAAGUUAAAUCCUGUUGAGACAAUAUGUUUCUUUGCCAAAGACUUCAAAGAAAUCAGUUGGUUAUGGCAUAGAAGACUGUCUCAUCUAAACUUUAAAGGCAUGUCAAAACUGGCCUCCAAAGACCUUGUAGUAGGAUUACCGAAAUUCAACUUCAUCAAAGACAAACCUUGCAAAGCUUGUCAGCUAGGAAAUCAAACAAGGAGUUCAUUCAAAGGCAAAACAGUCAACUCUAUUAAUAAGCCCUUGGAGUUACUUAACAUGGACCUCUUCGGGCCUAUCCCUACUGUAAGUCUUGGAGGGAUGAGAUACUCACUGGUGGUAGCAGACGACUACACCAUAUAAACAUGGGUAUUCUUUCUGAGUUCUAAAGAAGAAACUUACUCUCAACUUAUUAAGCCAUUUAUGAAUGAGAAAGGAGAAAAGAUUAAGGCCAUUAGAAGUGAUCAUGGAAGAGAAUUUGACUUCUCAGAGAUGGACAAGUUCUGUGAAGAUAAUGGCAUCAACCACAACCUCUCAUAUCCAAGAACUCCACAGCAAAAUGGGGUAGCUGAGAGAAAGAACAGAACCUUGAUUGAGGCAGGAAGAACACUACUGGCAGCAGCUCUCCUACUUAAAUACUUCUGGGCAAAAGCUAUCAACACGAUUUGCUACACCCAAAACAGAUCUCUUAUUCAUCCUACGCUCAAAAAGACUCCUUAUGAGCUAUGGAAAGGAAGUAAGCCAAAUGUCAGGUUCCAUGUUUUUGGUUGUACUUGCUACAUUCUCAAUAAUGGAAAAUAAUAUCUGACUAAGUUCCAACCAAAGUCGGAUGAGGAUAUCUUUCUUGGGUAUGCCACAAAUAGCAAAGCCUACAGGGUGUUCAACAAGAAAACUCUUAGUGUUGAAGUCUCUAUUCAUGUCAUCUUUGAUGAAACAGACUCAUCAGGCAAGUUUGUACCACUCAACUCCAUGACCAACGAACCAGACACCAAGAUCGAAGUGGUUGAGCAAGUUACCACGAUCGUAGACUAAGAAGAAGGAAUCAUGGAGCAUGGAGAAGCAAUCAUAGAAGAUAUUGCUCUAGAAAAUGAGCAUCCACAACAAGAAGUUGAAGUCAAUCUUGAAGAAUUAAGAUAAGAAAGCACAAGAACUGACGUUCCAACAGGAAGUAGAUGGGCGAGAGAUCACACACAAGACUUGAUUAUUGGAGAUCCAAAUGCAAGAAUCAAGACUAGGCCGGCUACUCAAAAUGAGUGUUUCUAUCUGAACUUUCCGUCCCAAAUGGAACCUAAGAAGAUAGAGGAAGUCUUGGAAGAUUCAAGCCGGAUUGAAGCUAUGCAGGAGGAACUAAAUCAAUUUGAAAGAAGAAAAGUGUGGAGACUAGUUCUAAGACCAAAUCACUAACCAGUCAUCGACACCAAAUGGGUAUUCAGAAACAAGAUGGAUGAAGAUGGGGUGAUCACAAAGAACAAGAUAAGACUUGUCGCAAAAGGUUAUUCUCAAGAAGAAGACAUCGACUACGACGAGACCUUUGCUCCUAUUGCCAGACUAGAAGCAAUCAGAAUAUUUAUUGCCUAUGUUGCACAUAUGAAGUUCAAAGUCUUUCAAAUGGAUGUCAAAAGUUCAUUUCUGAAUGGAGAACUUCAAGAAGAAGUCUAUGUGGAACAACCCCCAGGUUUUAUCAAUCCAACCUUCUCUAAUUAUUUUUAUAGAUUAGAUAAAGCACUAUAUAAAUAAGCACCUAGACGAUGGUAUGAAACACUAACAAACUUUUUUAUCGAAAAGGGAUUCUCUAGAGGAAGAGUAGACACCACACUAUUUCUAGAAAGCACAAAGAUAAAGAUCUAUUAGUACAAAUAUAUGUAGAUGGAAUUAUUUUUGGUUAUACUGAUAAAAAGCUAUGUGAGAGAUUUUCCAAGCUUAUGCAGAGUAAAUUUGAAAUGAGCAUGAUGGGUGAACUGAAUUUCUUCCUUGGACUUCAAGUGAAGCAAACUAAUAAAGGUAUCUUUAUUAAUCAAGCCAAGUAUAUCAAAGACUUACUUAAGAAGUAUGGCAUGGAAUUAGCUUCCCCCAUGAGAACUCCAAUUGCAUCAUCCACUAAGCUUGGCAAAAAUGAGAAAGGUAAAUGUAUUGAUAUUACUUAAUACAGAGGUAUGAUAGGUUUUCUUCUUUACUUAACUGCUAGUAGACUAGACAUCAUGUUUGCUACAUGUAUAUAUGCUAGAUUUCAAGCUAACCCUAAGGAAUCACACUUAAUUGUUGUGAAAAGGAUUUUCAGGUAUCUCAAAGGCACACCUCAUUUCGGGCUUUGGUAUCCCAAGGAGUCUUCGUUUGAAUUAACAGGAUACUCAGAUGCUGAUUUUGUAGGUUGUAAAAUUGAUAGAAAGAGUACAAGUGACACUUGUCAAUUGCUAGGAAAAAGGCUCGUAUCCUAGUUUAGCAAGAAGUAAAACUCUAUAUCAACCUCAAUAGCAGAAGUUGAAUAUAUAGCAGCUGGUAGCUGUUGUGCCCAAUCCUAUGGAUAAAAAAUCAGCUAGCUAACUAUGUUUUUAAUUUCAAAUCUAUUCAUGUUCACUGUGAUAAUACAAGUGCUAUAACUAUAACUCAUAAUCCUGUCAUGCAUUCUAGGACAAAGCAUAUUGAGAUAAGAUAUCAUUUCAUUAGAGAUCAUAUUUAAAAUGGAAAUAUUUCUCUUCAUUAUAUCCCAAUUGAAAAUCAACUUGUUGAUGUGUUUACAAAACUUUUAGAUGAAUCCAGAUUUAAUAAGUUAAUAAGUGAAUUAGGAAUGCUUAAUUUACAACCAUAUUACUAUUUUCUUGAAGCUACUAAUUUUGUAGAUAGAAAGUCAUUAACUGAUUGUGAAGUAAUACUGCGGACUUCAGAAGGAAACUCAAUCUCAUGAGGAGCUAAGGAAACAAUAGCCUUUUCAUUCUGACUAAAAGUUCGUGGCCCCACUCAGCAAAAAUUUAAAAAGGGAAGUUUCAAACAAACUUUAAAUCACCAUUUCUUUAUUUCAAACUCUCAUCUGAAUUUUAAACUCUCUCUCUCUCCCUCGCUCGCUAAAACCCUAGAUUUGAUUUACAGAACACUCAGUUAAUCUUGAUUGUUUCAGGAAAAUCAAAGAAAUCAAUGGCAUCUUCAACCAUGAUUCCUGGACACCAGCUAUGCUUCGAAGAAUUCAAAGAAGCCGAACCAAAAUUCCAUAAGAUCCUCUUAUUGCUAAAGAAAGCAGGACUUCAGGAAGCUCUGGGGACCAACAUGAGAAUUUACCCCAAAUUGGUGAGGGAGUUCUACACCAAUGGAGUCUACAAAGACGACGUCCUUGCUUCAAAGGUUAAAGACAUGACAAUUCGAUUGGAAGUUGCUUACAUAAAUCAGGCCUUAGGUUUUAAAUUUAAGGGCCUUACUUCUUUAAGCUUCAUCGAAUUCAAAGAGGGACUAAAGAGGAUACAUCACGAAAAGAACCAAAAUCUGAAGGGGUAGAAGAAGAAGGAGUUUCCCCAAAAGUACUAGUUCAUGGCUGAAAUUGUUGGGAAAUGUAUCUGUUGUAAGAAUUAUGGUCACGAUUCUGUCAACGAGGUGCAACUAAAGCUCAUGACAGCAAUCUGCUUUAAGUCUUAGAUAAACUAUGGAGCUCUUCUUCUGGAGUGGAUUGGGAAGUGGAUUCUUAGCUUUAAGAAAGCAAAGAGCACGAUCAAAAUGUUUUAUGGAAGAUUUAUCAGCAUUAUUCUCCAAGCAGCUCUGGGAGACAAUAUUCGUGAAGGUGAACCUCUAAAUGCCAACAAGAGAAUGACCCAAUAACUCUUUGUAAACUGGAAAAGGAAUCCAGUUGAGAAUGUGAAGAAUUAUCAAUCUGAGUCUAGUGAAAGGUUAUGAAACCUUUUCUACAGGGAAACAUAUCUAUUGUGAGGGAAGUUAAAGAAGAAGUAGACCAGGAUCCCACUGCUCUGGUCAGGAGAAACAAGGGAAAGAAGAAGCUGAAGACCGUUGUUUAGAUGGCAGAAGAGCCUAAACGAUCAACAACUGAAGUACCUCAAGGAUCUGAUCCUGAACUCUCUGGCCAAUCUCUUACAAAGGAAAUUUCUUAAGAUGAAGAUUGGCUCAAGAAGAAGAAGAAGAAGAAGAAGCAAACUGAAGAAGAAGUUGAAGAAAAGAUGACUCUGUCUCAAAAUUUUUCAAAGAAAGGAAAACGCAGUCUGCGUUUGAAGAAGUCCUCCCUGAUCGUGAUCAUGGAGAAUACAAGCACGCCGAUCGUGGAGUCAAGAAUUGUUAACCAAUCAGAAGAAAAUAUUGGGACAACGACUCAGCCUGAACAGAUAAAUGUUGCUACAAAUGAACAACUUGAUGAAGAGACAGCUGAAACUGAGCCUAGAAGAGUGAAGAGAAAGCUAAUCAAAAAGGUUGAUCUUGAGCUUAAGGAAGCAAUGCUAUAGAUUAAUGAAGAAGAAAUGAGAAUGAUGGAACAGACAAAGAGGACUGUGUCUCCAAACUAUAGUUCUUACAAUGAGUCCUUAGAACAAACCAGGAUCAUUGAAACAGUAAUUGCCACCAUCAACAAUGCAGUCAGUCCGACUGCAUCAGACCAAGUUUUUGUUCCUACUGAAGAGGAACAAAAAGAGGAUAAUGAGCAGAGUCAUGCUCAUAUUGAGGGGGACACCUUCGAAUUUCCUGAGUCAGAAAAUGCUUCAGCUGAGGGGGAGCAAUCAGAAGCUCAUCAUGAAGCCCCCUCUAUCCCUCAAGAAAUGGUGGAGAUUCUUGAUAAAGAAGAUGAAAGAGAAGAAGAGGAAGAAGUAGAAAUCAUUAUUGAAUUAAAGAGUGAAGAAAGGAGCAUCAACUACAAUUGAAUGUUCUCCUACCUGCCCAUAAUGCCCUUCCACAGAGCCCUACUUCUCAAUUCUUGGGAUCAUAUAUUUUGGACAUUCAAAGCUUAUCCAUCAGUAUCUGUGCUCGCCCAAGAAUACCCAAAGAACCUCAACUUCGCUAAAAAGUUAAAUGCCAAUCAUGCCUCUUCUAUCCAUGAACAAAAGUGUUAGGAAUAUGCAUGUGAAUGUUAUUCUUUUAUUCAUAUAAUUUGAUGAUGAAGGUGAUGAAGUUAAUGAAUGAAUACAUAAAUAUGUCUACAUUGAUAAAAGUUGUAAAGUCCUUAAUAGAUGAUAGAUAAUAUGGACAAGGGCUUAUAUUGAAAUGAUUAAAUAUGUUAGAUUGAUCUAAUAUGAAUAAAUAGUUAUGUAAAAGUCCUUUAAAAGAUCAUGAUGUACAAGGACUAUGAAUAGAAUGAUCAAACUUGUUAGGUUGAUCUUAUAAAGUGUAAUAAUGUCUGACUGAAGAGAAAUGCACCAGUCACUAUAAUCUGCCAAGAAAGUAAAGCAGAAUCGUAGACUACACUCGAAAUCGUAGAAGCUGUCUGUCGAUCGCCUGUAGAGCUAAAACAAGAAUCGUAGACUUCACUCUAAAUCGUGAAGUCUACAAGUCGUCACCAAUUAGAAUCGUAGUUUGCAGAACCAGAGCCAAAGUCGUAGUCAGCCAAUUGCUUACUUAGCUAUAAUUAUAGAGCACUCUACGAUUCUCAACAGGAGCAACCCUGAAGUGUAUGUAUAGAUCUUAUUCUCUGGCAAGAGCAGUCAAGUUUCAGAUUAAAGUCUACUUAAAGAAUAUCAGAAAGCAUUCUCUGAAUGACCUGCAAGCAAAUAGAAGAUCAAAGCACCAACUCUAUCAGCAGGGCUAAUUGAGAAGUGAAAAUCUAUUCAGAAAGAGUUUCAUCAGAAGACAACAAUCAUAAUGCUUACCAAAAAGUAAAAGAGCAUGAUAAAGAAACUACAAAGAUAAUGGUAAACCGGCCACAGUGUAAGCAAAGAAAAAACAAGGAGGACGUCAAUGCUCAGCUUCACCAUGGAGUAUGAUCAAGAGAUCACAAGUCUGAAGGUUAAGGAAGCUGAGCAUGACUAAUCAAAAGGGAUAUGCAAACCAAAGUGUCAAAGCAGUCAAUCAAUUUGUUAGUUCUUGAAGCAAAGCAAGAUAACCAUGAUCGUAGAACAGACUACAAGAGCAAAGAACAAGAUGGUAAAAUGUUGAUCCAUAGAAAAGCUCUUCAAUGAAAGACUUUCAACGGCUAUGUUCCAAUGGGAAAAUGAGAGAUAAAUCUAUAAAGAGCCGAAGCUUCAAAGAAUAUGAGGUUGUUGACUUGAAACAAAGUAAGUCAUAUAGAUUUUAAUAGAGAAAAGGUCUCAAUGAGAGUGAAACCACCACAGAAGAGUGAAGCACAACUAAUGAGAUUCAUACAAUUAAACAACUUUACUCUAUACAAAGGACUAUGACAACGUAGUGGCAUCUGUACUGAGAGUCGAAAGGCCAAAAAGACAACAAGUAGAGUGGCAAAUCAGAAAGCAGAAUACCUGAGUCACUCUACGAUUCACCAUGAACAUAGUGAGCUAAAAAAAAGAAGAUAUAGAACCAAAUCUAUGCACAAGAAAACCAGUGGUGAAGGACUACUAAGUACCAGAAGAAGUCAAGUUGAUAUGUAAGACUUAGCAGUACAUAAAUGCUGAUAGUGUGCAAUAUUGAAUAUCAGAUGAAGACAAACAUCAACAACAAAGAUCAGCAAUACCAAGAGAUAAGUUAGACUGCUAAGAACAACAAGAUGUCAAACUGAACGUACAUCUUAGUAGUCCAUCAAUUGUGAUCUACUAUCAAGCUGAAUACUACAUGAUAACUAGAAGCUGCUAAGUACCAGAGGAUGAACAAGCUGGAUGUCAUCUUAGAAGCUCAACAACAACAAACAACCAUCCAAUCAACCAGGGCCUGCAGGGUCCUUGUCUUAAUGACUAAACCAAAGUCAAAUCUACUGGGCUUGCUAAGUACCGGAGGGUAAAAGAGAUUCUAAGUCUGCCGGGCUUAGUCUAUAGUUUCCAAAAAGGUAUACUUUUUAGAAACUAACAAAAGGGUAUACUUUAUUCCCACUUCCUUCAAGUUAAAUCACUCUCCUUCAUCAAAUUUCCAUCAAUUUGAUAAAUUUCCUAGGUGGAUCGAGCUUAUUCCAAACCCACAAAACAAAUUUCCAGUUACAGAGUCCCAACACUCUAUGACUGAUGAACCAAAUUAAUCAUCCAUUCCAAUCGCGGUACAUCCUUCUCACACCACGAUCGUAGACCUUCUUGACACCACUACGAUAGAUCAAAAUAACAACUUAUCUUUUGACCAACAAAUAAAUGACUCAAUAACUCAUUUUGAUGUUCCUUUAUCCUCCAAUAACGAUUACUUCAGUCUAGCUCUUGCUCUCUCAAACUUGCAAAAAUAGAAGAUAAAAACCUCUCCUUCUGACAUUCAGAAAAUAAUCGAUCAUCUUUCUCUACUUCCCACCAAGGAUGAGUUAACUGAAGUUUCAAAGAAAGUGGCCAAGGAGAUGGAAGAAAACCUUGAGGCCCACUCUCUCAUUAUUCAUCAACGGUUUAACAACUUGAUCGAUGCUGCCAAUAAUCUUCUUGGCAUAUUGGGAUCUGACAAGAGAUUAAAGAUGAUUAUAAAUGAGAUGAUAGAGAGCAUAAAAGAAAGGGAUUAACUUCACUUCCACUCUACGAAUAAACAUAAGGAAUUAGUUCUCCUUCUUCAAAAGACUCAGGAAUCGCAGAACAAGCUCGUUACUGAAAAUAUCAUAAGCAUGUGUUCCUCCCCAACUGAAUUUAAAGAGUACUUCUUAACUCAGAUAAGGCAUACAAAUGAUCUCUUAGCCAUCAUUCAUCAAUAAAAAGUCGAGAUUGACACUAUGGUCCAAGAGAAUCGCAAUGACAUUGCCCAGUUGCACACUCAACUACAUGAACUGGUGCAAGGAAUGAUUCAUCUAUCUCAAGAUAUUUGAACCCUAGAUACUGACAUAAAAGGAGAUAAUACUGGGGAGAAAGGUAAAGGGAAAGGGAAACAGGUUGCAUAUUCUUCAAGGAGUAAUCCUCGCAAUCAGCCCCCAAGAACAGAGCAACACCAACAAAUAAUAAUGGUAUCCCCACUGAGGAGUCAAGGCCCUACGCCUUUCAGGCAGCGAGAAGCAUCUCGCACUGGCCUAAGCAUGCCCAUUGGAGAUCCUGCCUUCAUAAAUAGACAUGAUCAAAAUGAACCUCUGGAGAAAAGUGAGUUGGAAGAGAUUGCAAGACGAAAUGAGGCAAGCAAGAAAAGGAGGGAAUACGAAUGUGCACAUCCUCCAAGAUUCAAGAGACCAAGAAGAUAAGUUCCUAUUUUUAUUUGAUAUAUCAAUUAUGAACUGUAAUAUCCUUGAAAAACAUCAAUAAAUUCAUGAUUAUUUUCUAAGAGAUUCAUUUGCUCACUGAUCAUUAAGUCAUGUUUAUUUUCAAGCAACUUGCAUUAAGAAUUGAUGGUAUGGUGCAAAUCUACUUGGUUAUGUCAACAUCAAAUAGGGGGAGAUUGUUGGGAGUUGCAUAUUUAGAUUUGAUGUUAGAAUAAAUAAAUGUGCAUGCAUUAUCAAAAGAUGUAAAGUCCUUAUUAUAUCAUAUGUACAAGGACUUAGAUUAAAGAUCAAAGUUGUUAAGUUGAUCUAAGCUUUAUGUUUACCUUUUUGUAAAAUCUCUUGUAGUAGAAAGAUCAAACUUGUUAGGUUGAUCUUAUGAAUUGUAAUAGAUAGGACCAGGACAAAAUUGUAGUCUGGUAAGAAAAGCAAGAGAUUACAGAAGACAAGGCAGAAUCGUAGUCUGCCGAGCAAGCCUCUCGGGAUCAUAGAAGCAAUUUACCGAGUGCCUGUCGAGCUAAGUUAAAAAUCUUAGGUACAGCUCGAAAUCGUGGAAUCUUCAAGGCAUCACUGAUUAAAAUCGUAGUAAGUCAAGCACUGUUAAAGAUAAGGCAGAAUCGUAGAGUAAUCAGAGGUAGUCCAGAGUAAAUCGCCUACAAGCACUUAUCAACAGACCACGAUCAUAGUGUAGUUCAUCAGUCAGCAUCAGAAUCUUUGAAGUUCGAUUGUCUGAUGAACAAAAAUGUCUGACAAUAAUGACUGAUAUUUGAACAUUGAUGUUUGAGAAUCCCAAUACUCUCACCAACAUCCCUGACCUAAAUCGAAGAGCCAAAAGGGAAAAGAAAAGUGACUUUCAACUGGUCUGAUGAAAGUGACUUUUCAAAGGUGGUAGGUGAGAAAGCAGUCUGUUGUGUCAGGCAAGUCAGAAAGGAGUAUUCACAUAAUCCUAGGAUGUCAACAUCAAGAUCCUAGAAUAUCUGAAGCAUUAAAUGCUUCAACGAAAGCUUCUCAACGGGAAGAUUUCAAAGGCUCCUACAUAAGGAAAACAGAUUAAAGAUUAUAGACAAGCAAGAACGCACAAAUCAUUAGAACAUUUAUCAAAGCCUCACUCUAUGAAUUUGAAGAGAAGUCUUGCUCAGCUACUAAGUUCUUCAAAACUUAUUCUUAAGGCAACUUAGUAGCACAACAUCAACAAAACUUUUAUAACAGAACUGCCAAGUCUGCUGGACUUGAAGAGUACUCAAUGUACUAGUGAUUCAAGUCUGUUCGGCUUGAAAAGUUCUUAGUAAACUAUUGUUCCAAGACUGCUGGUCUUGAAGGAAUCCCAGUGAUUCGAAUAUUGUAUCAAUAUCCUUAGUGGAUUUUCUACUCGUGGAGUAGAAUCGUGGACUAGGAGUCUUGAGUGCUCUGAACCACUUAAAACACGGUGUCAUUUACUUUCAGUCUUUUAACUGCUAUAACUGUUAUUUAAAUUAUAACUUAUGUUUUAUCUUAAAGGGGAUAAUUAAUUCAUACAUUUCGUUGUGGUUAAUUAAUUAUUGAAUUAACAAAUCUAUUAAGUUACUAUUUGAAAAGAAAAAGAUUUUAAAUAUCUAUUCAACCCCCCGUUCUAGAUAACUUUUAUGCCUCAGAGAACUAACAAUAUUAACCAUUCAGAUCUUAAUUACUCAAUUUUAUCAAACACCACCUUAACCCCUUUAUAUAAAAACGAACCCAUUAUCUCGUCCACACAAAUAUUAUUAUAAAAUCAUUAUUUUGUUAAUAUUUUAUGUUAUAAAAAUAAUUUAUUAGAUAGUGUAGUUAAUUUUUUAUAAUUAAAUCACAUGCUUGAUGAUUUUAUUAAAUUCAUACUAAUAUUUUAAUAAUAAAAAAAAGUAAUAAUAGAUUAUUAUUAUUAUUAUUAUUUGUGAAAAAAUAUUAAUCGAUUAAUAUUUUAUGAGAAAAUUGAAUUUUUUGGCACCAAGAAAUUUUUUAACUUUUUUAGUACCAAUAUUUUUUUAUAUCAAGAUUAAACACUUUCCGUAUUGUAACUCAAAUUCAUUAUAUUUUAAUUAAUUAAAAGUUAAGCAUUUUCAAAUUUUAUUAAUUAUUAAUAUCGUAUUUGUUAUGUAUUUAUGACAUUAUUGGUGCAAUAAUGCUUCGACCAAUAAAUCAUACACAUGGGAACUUUUUUUGUUCGAUGACAUAUUACAUUUAACCAUUAUUGUAGUACAAUCUAAUAACAGGGUAAAGAGAUGAUUGAAGGUUUUUUGGUUACGAGCGUUUGCAGCAUUCAAGGCAAUAGCGUUUGGACCUCUAAAUAAAUCCCACCAUUUUUGAUUUGUUACGUUUGAGUCAUAAACGCUACGUUUGUAAGUUAAAUAAGUUACGUUUGAAAUAAAGACUUUUAAAAGAGAAUUUUUUUGAUACAUUUAGACUCUAAAAUGCUCCAAACGCACUACACUACAAAAAUGUUGUAUGUAUAACUAAGGGGGUUGAGAAUCGAACCUAGGUUAUAUAUCACGAUGGGUAAGGUAUCUAUCAAUGCUACCAGCUAUCUUCUCAACUAUGCAUAACUAGACAACUGAAUUUCACAUUUUUGCAUAAAAAUGAAAUAAAACGUCGAAAUAGACAAAAUUUGAAAAACACAUUAUAAAUAAAGCAUAGACAAAAAAACCCUAGGGGAGGAAAGAGAGAGAAUGCACCAAAACAAACUCAUGUGCUCAACCUUGGAAUUUGAGCCAAAGUCACAGCUAUACUCGUUGCUUGGGGCCAAAGUCAUGACUCAACCCCUAGAUCCAAUUUCAACAAUAGUUAUUCCUUGUUUCUACAUUAUUUACAAAAAGAGAAAAAAUAGAAGAGAGAGAAUCCCCAAAAGAGAGAAAGCACGAAAAUUAUUAGUUUAUAGGAUUAUAUACAUAUCUAGAGAAAGAAAAAUACAAAAAAAAAUCUCCAAUUCAAUUCAUCUUCAACCUAAGCAACAAAGAGAAAGUGAAAAUUUAUUCAAGACACCUACCUUUUCCUCAAUUCUAGCAAGGUCCAAUUUUAAUUCUCUCAAUUUUAUUGAAUUGUCUAUCCUUAUAUCAUUUUAUCUAUCUCAAUUAUAUUAUAUGAAUUUUUGAAUUGUAUGCAAGUAUUGGAAGUAGAAUUGUUGGAGUAUUUUUUUCAAUUGGAAAUGAUGUAAGUGAAUCUAAGGCUCAUGGAUCCAUACCCACGGUGAAUUAGGCCUAGUCCAUGAUGGACCUCUAAAUUAGAUUAAUGUAAUUGCUUUAAUUUUGAAUUAUUCCUUUGUUGUGAGCUUAGGAAAAGGCUCAAUGCUUCUAAAUUCAUAUAAGAGAAGUGGGGUCCUCUUCUAAUUAAACAUUUUGAAAUUAAAUCGUGAUAUUUGAAUUGAUGAGAAUUUGGUGAAAUUGUGAAUCUAGGAGGAACCCAAGGCUUUUAAAUUCAUAUUUGGAGGAAUUAACAUCUUCUUUCCAUAAUGUACAUUUGAAAUUGGAUUUGUGUUGGUGUUUACAAAUCAUCUAUAGGCCUUAAAAUCAUUUGGGUUGCUUUUAUAUAUCUCUUAAAAGUGGAGUUUAAGGCCCAAAAUAGUGAAUAUUAGUAUGAUUUUGGUAAUGGGUCAAAUGUGAUGGUUUUUAUAGCCUAAGUUGAACCUAUCCCAUUUUCCUUGUUUUGAGUAACAAAAAAUAAUUUUUAAAAAUUAACGAUUUUCUAAAAUGAAGCAAAUUCAAAGGGUAAAAACUAAAUACUUGAAAAGGACUCUUGGCUAAAAAUCACUUUUGAAAACUACGCUUGAAACACAUUUAAAAAAUCACUUUUGAAAACUGCACUUACAAUCACAUUUCAAAAACUCACUUUUGAAAAAUACACAUUUGAAAAACACACUUGAAAAAAUCACUUUUGAAAAUUACAUAACUAAACUCACUUUUGAAAACACGAGUUUAGAAACUAAGCUCACUCUUGAAAACACACAAGUUUAGAAACCGAACUCACUUUUAAAAACACAUGAGUUUAGAAACCAAACUCAAAACCUUUUGAAAAACACACAUUUAUGAGUUUAGAAACCAAACUCCCAACUUUUUGAAAAUCACAUUCACGAACCUUUGUGGAUACGCACAUUAAGAGUUUAAAAACCAAACUCCUCAUUUGAAAAACACAUGAGUUUAGAAACCAAACUUGCCUUCUUUUGAAAAACACCCUUCAUAAGUUUAGAAACCAGACUCCCAAACCUUUUAAAAAACGCACACACAACUUUAGAAAUCAAACUUACGAAAAUCAUAAUUCAAACAAACCAAAAGAUUCUUUCUACCCAAAUUGAACCCCAUUAGGAUAAAUUAAAUGGACUUACCCGCAAUGCAUAACACGGAACACAUACGCAUUAUGGAAUGACACAAAACAAUAGGCACGACACACGUAUAACAUACACUAAGGCAACUCUUUCAAAACAUCAUAAAAGAUUAGGAAGACGGUAACCAUGAUUCAGCAAGUCAGGGGGUACCUAACACAUUCUCCUCGCUUAAACAAGCCCCCGAACUCUUUACGGACCAAUGCAAUGGGAGUCACAUUAUAGGCCAUCUAUCUUUAAAACCUUAAAAACUCGAAUGGGUUGGUACGUACAUCCAAUUAAACUUAUACCAACUGAUGACUCUGUUACAUUGGCCCAUAUCUAAAAAUCAACCUUUCAAAAAUCAUCGACAAAAGAACUGUUUUCCAAAGAUCUCACAAACCACACACAAUUAAAGGAAAAUGAGAGUGUGCUUGGCAGAUAUAAAAAAGACUUAAAAAAAUUUCUCCCGAUGUCAACAAAUAAGUUAAAAGGUUGAUAUGUGCGACGAUUUACUACAUGAUUUUACUAUAUGAUGAUGAUUAUAAUAAAUACUCUUCUGUUAGAUAUCCAACAAGAAUUUUCAUUGAAUGAAUAACGGAUCCAGAUCUUGGAAACAAUAAUGAUUUCAAAUAAGCAUGAGUAAUCAAAUGAAAUAUAACAUUUCGAUAAUAUCUCAUUUCAACCAAUUAUGUGCUUCAAUAUAAUUACAUGCCUUUCAAAGAGUGCAUAAUAGCUCAGGGAUUGAGCGCUCUUGCGCUAAAGCCUAGAAACAGAAUUAUGCCACUUAGGCUUAUUAUGUAAUUAUGGAUGAAAGGGGUCAUCACGUAGUUUUUGUUCCUCGAUAAUAUAUAUUGAUACUUUCAAAGUUAGAAAAAAGGAGCCACUUGAGAUAAUUAACAUUAUAUUAGUUAAAAUUAAAUGAAUUCAUAUCACUUUAAAAUGUCUCAAAUUGAUUUCAAAAAGUUGAUAGCACUAAUAGCACUUUAAUCCCUCAAGUUUUAUCUUUUCUAAAUUAGUUAAGUCCAUAAUAUACUUAUUCUUUCAAUUCGGACCCCCAAGUGUUAUUAAGUGAACACGCUAGACCCUAAUUGGUAAUUCGAUAGGUCUUUUACUCGGAAAUGAUGUCGUGACAUAACUCUUUUCGACAAAAAUUAGGCCAAAUAUCGGAUUUGAGUGUGUAUCGAUAACAUAGUAUAACUUGUGGGCCCAUAUUGAGAGAAUUAAUACUUUAAGAGUUCAAAUAUAAAACAAAUGGAAUUUCAACGGUUAAUAUGCUAUUAGCCCUAAUUAUUAAUAAUCUUUAUUUUAGAACAGUAAAAAUAUUAUAUAUUUAAAUAAAACUACUAUCACAUAAUGGUGGCUCACAUAAUUCUCACAUACACACAUACAUAUUUAUGGGUCCCAUAUGUUAAGUGGGGUCCACAAUAUGCAUGUAUGUAUGUGAGCAUUAUAUGAGCUUUUUUUAUGUGGUAGUAGUAUUGUUGUAUAUAUUUAUCAAGACUAAAAGACAAUGUGCACCCCAAACUUUACACUCAUGUUGACUUUUGCAACCCAAAUCGAAAAAAUGUCUAAGUACACCCCAAACUUCAAUUAAACAUAACAGAAAACACACUUUCGUUAGUUAACUGGUCAAAAGUGACUGGCUAAGGCUGUAAUGUUUAUUAUAGAGGGGUAAGCUUGGUAGUUUAUAUUUAUUUCACACAAUCCCCUACCUUCUCUCUCUCUCUGUUAAACCCAGACUCCUACACUGAGUCAACUCACCCAUACACCACCCACAUCUCACUUUCUCUCUACUUCAACUUCUCCACCUCCACCAUCCUCUCCUCCGCCCUCCUCUCUCUCUCUCCUCCCCUCACUCCGGCCCCUUCAGCCUCGACACCCAAUCUCUCUCCAUUUCAAUCGUUCUUGAUCCUUCCGCCAAAACCCCUCUCCCAUUUUCUCUAUCCUCCAUUGUUGACUCCGUCAAGGGACAAUUGCUUACAGUUUCUCUCUCUAACCACUCCCAAUUCCUCAUUCUCUUCUCCACUAGCCCUUCCAGCUCUGCCCUACAGUGGAUGUCCCCGCCCCAGACGUUUAAUAAGCUCUUCCAUCUUUUAUUGCAAUAUCAUCAUCAACAUCAUCAUCUUAAUUAUCAUUUGCAUCAUUGUCAUCAUACAUAAAUAUGAAAAGGACUUUGGAAAUGGUUUAUUACCAAGUAAAACCACUUCAAAAAGGAAAUGUGAGAAGGGCAUCCGGAUAAAUUACUUGGACACCUUUGAGACUAUCUGAAAGAUUGCUUGCUUCUUCCUCAGCCUUAUGUUUCUCUUUCUCUACUUCAAACUUUGGCUUCCAGUUAGUUUGUCUAUAUGCUUCUACUACCUUCUCGUCACUUGCUAUCAAAAUAUUGUCGAACAAUAUGCAUUCUUGCAUUGUCCAAAUUUUAAUGCCAAUAGCAACAAUAGGCUCAAAAUCAGGUUUGUCAAGUUCAAAGUAGACGGGGUUCGGAAUUUGCUGAGGCUUCUAUAUACCCUUGUAGUAGGGGUUGUCAAUAAGUACAUAAGUAUAUUGUUUCUAUUUCCAACUCUUUUUACAUAAAUGAAACCCUUGACUAUAUUUUAUUUCCUGUCUAGCGUCAAAUUAUUGAGAUUUGACAGUCUUACGGGCUAGCUAUAUAAUCAAGUGGACCUAGUAACUUAAAUAACUUCUUUAAUUUUGAUUUCAGAAGAGAAGAUGGGGAAGCUGCUGGAGUCUAUACUGGUGUUUUGGUUCUUACAAACACAAUAAAAGAAUUGGUCAUGCUACCCUUGUUCCUGAAGCAACAGUGCCUGGAGCUGCAGCCCCUCUCGCAAAAACUCUGAAUAACUCAUCCACCAUAGUAUUUCCUUUCAUUGCUCCUCCGUCGUCUCUUGCAUCUUUUCUCCAAUUAGAUCCCCCUUCUGCCACCCAAUCACCGGCUGGAUUACUCUCCCUUACAUCUCUCUCUGUCAAUUCCUAUUCCCAAGGUGGGACAACCUCCAUUUUCGCCAUCCGACCCUAUACAUACGAAACUCAGUUAGUUUCACCAUAUGUAUUCUCUACAUUCACCACUGAACCAUCCACUGCUUCUUUCACUCUGCCUCCUGAAUCUGUGCAAAUGACAACACCUUCAUCACCUGAAGUGCCUUUCACUCAGCUUUUGGCUUCAUCUCUAGCUCGCACUUGAAGGAACAGUGGGAUAAAUCAAAAUUUCUCAUUAUCCCAGUAUGAGUUUCAGCCUUAUCAGUUGUACCCAGGAAGUCCAGGUGGCUACCUCAUAUCAUCAGGCUCAACAAUUCCAAAUUCUGGAACAUCUUCACCUUUCCCUGAUAAGCAACGAAUUAUUGAGUUUCGAGUGGGGGAAACUCCCAAAUUUCUUGGCUAUGAAUAUUUUUCCACUCAGAAGUGGGGUUCAAGGCUAGGUUCUGAAUCUUUAACACCAAAUGUCUUGGGUUCAAGGUUAGAUUCUGGCUCCUUGACGCCAAAUGGUGGUGUCUCAAGGUUAUGUUCUGGUUCUUUGACGCUAAACGAUUGGGGUUCAAGGCUAGGAUCCGGUUUGAUUUUUUUUGUGGUGGGUUAUGGUGGUGGAAUUGUGGGAAGAGUUGGUGUUGCAGUGUUGAUGAAAGGUUGUGAUGCAGUGUUUUUGUGGUGGUUGUUGUGUUUCAUUCAUAUGCCCCUUUUCAGAUCCAACACAAAGAAGAAAGAAGAAAAUGAUACCAUUGAUGUACGUACUUCGAAACCUUACAUCCCCAAAUCUGUCACACACUAUGCCUGCCGCCGCCGCCGCCAUCGUCAUUGUCAACCACCGUCUUCCCCAUGCUCAAACACCCUUCCCUUGGCAAACCACUACCAUCUCCCAAUAACUUUUUCAACUCUUAAUUUCUAAAUUUGGGCUAGAACUCUCAAAGGUGAUGAAAUAUGUGUAUUCAUGACGAUGAGGUGUGAAGAAAAUUUUGACGAGAGACUAGUUAGAUACCACGAUUUGAGUUUUGGACUACAAAGAUUAUGGUUGCAAUGACUAUGGCGAUGGGUGGGUAGAUUUUCAUUUUAAGACUUUGGAAUUAGAAUUUGGGUUAAAGGUUAUUGAUAGAAAAUUUGAGUUAAGGGUUAUUGGGUGGGAUGAUUGUGGUUGAAAUUGGUUUGGUACAGUGGGUUUUUUAUGGGAAAAAUUGGGGAUUGAGAGCAAUUGACUUAAAGAGGAGAAACAGGGAAAAUUGGUUUGGUUUGGUUUGGUUUGGUAAAGAAACAUGAGAGGAAUUAGCUGAUGAAGAAAAUAUGGAAAAGACUUAAAUACCCCUUUAGAUGCAUAUGUGUGCCUUAGCCGGUCACUUUUGACCGGUUAAGUGAAGAAAAUGUAUUUUUUGUUAAGUGUAAUUGAAGUUUGAGAUGUACUUAGACACUUUUUUUAAUUUGAGAUAUAAAAAUUAAUAAUAAUAUAAAAUUUGGGGUGCAAAUUAUCUUUUAGUCUUUUUAUCGAUCUAGACAAAGAGCAUUUAUAUUAAGGUUAAAACAUGCACAAGUUUUUCUUAGUCUGUUAAGACACAUGCCUAUAAACUCGGGGAUACAGUCGCAACUAUGACCGGAAUAUUGUCAUACAUCAAAUAAGUACCAAAUGAAACACUUUUAUUUGACCAUUAUUAUUCAACUGCAAUCACCAAAAGUUCUCCGCCAAACCAGUUUACCUGCAUAAGAAAAAAAAACAUAAGUCAAAAGAAAAUAAUACUGACCGAUGGAAAAUGAAUAUUGUGACUAUGAAUUAUUAUAUAAGUAAUGCUACAUAUACAAAUUAUUUUAUAAAUAUUUUAUAAAUUGUUAAUGUGAUAUAUUUCACUUGAACAUAUUGAUCAACAAAUUGUUUUAAUGUAAUUUUCGGUCCCACGCAAUAUACUGAUGUAGAGUAUGCCACAUCAACAAUUUGUAAAAUGUUUGUAAAAUAGUUUGUCUCUAGCAUUAUACUUAUUAUAUAAACUGCACUCCCUUAGUCCCAAAACUAAAAUUUUAUACCCUCCAAUAACAUGUCAGGGAAGGAAUUUAAGAGAAAAUCAAUAGAUUUACUACAUAUCAUGUAAUAAAAUAGUUUUACCACCGUAAAUAAUAAAUAUAAAAUAUGUCAAUGCACUAAAAUUCUUUAAUUUUCUCCUAAAUUCACCACAUGACAUGUUAUUGUAGAGUGUAAAACUCAGUUUUACAUACCAUCCUUAUACUCGGUAAUGAUUUUAAUUCUCUUUCAAGAAAUAGACUAAAAGUUACGUAUCUUUAAAUCAUUUUUAGCUUGACAUAAACACCAUAUUUGUCAUAUAUUUUUGAAAACUCUUAAUUAUGCAAAUUAAGCCACUUGUUAAUUAAGUACAUACUUAAGAGGGAGAGAUGAGUUAGAUAAGUUACCCAAGAUGGAAAGACUUCUUGUCAGGAAGUUGGUAAGUAGCUGCAGUUUGAGGAUCCUGAUGAUAUUGAUGAUCAGCUGGAGGAUCCAUGAUAUUCAGCUGAAGCACAUUUCGAGCUGCAAGGAAUGCCUGGAUUUCGUGAUACUGAUCGUGUCCGCCUGUUGGCACCAUGCUUAGUUCCUGGAGCCUCUCAUUUUCUGCUAUCUGAACUCAAGAACAUUUGGAACUAAAUGAUUUAAUUAUAUGGGCUAUGUUUUUGGAAUGUAAAUAAAUGUAAUAAUAUCGAUAUGAAGGAAUAUUAUAUUUUUGAAAUCUAAAUAAAUUUAAGUAUCUUGCACUUUCUAACCUUAUGUAAUUAAUAAGAUGCAAAGGAAUUAAUAUGUUUUUGGAAUCUAAACAAGUUUAAUUAUGUAUCUUGAAUUUUCUUCUAACCUUAUGUAAUAAGAAAACUACUGAAGCCAUGAACCAUAAACCAUAAAAGAAAUAAAUUGUUUAUAUUAUUUCUGUCUUUUCUUAAGAAAUUUUACUUAAUUAUGGACUUCUUACAUAAUUUAAUUAAAAGAUUGAUCAAGUUUCUGGAUAGAAGAUGAAAAUGCUAGACGAGUUAGACCCUGAGAAUCCAUAAAUAGUGUUUUCUAAUUUUGGCAGAAGCCAUAUUUAUUUAGAGAACUGGCAUUUUUACAUGUAUUUUUGAUAUUAAUUUUUACACUGUCCUCUCUCACAUGAGCAUACAAUGAGUCUCAUCUUCAUGUGAGAAGAAACUGUAUGAAAAUAUCAAAAAUACAUGUAAAAAUAGUGCUCCCUUUAUUUAUGAGAAAUAUGCAAAGCUUAAAUCAAUCUUGAGAAACUAAUGGUUUUGAUAAAAUAUAUACCUUUGCUCUUAGGAAAGCAUUUUCAUGCUCCAGCUCGUUUUCCUGUGAAGAUGAUUUUUCGAAAAAAUAAAAAUAAAAAUUGGUAAUAGGAGAUUUUUUCAGUAAUCAUAAGCAAAUCAAACAUGAGAGAGAGAGAGAGGGAGAGAGAUGUCAAAGGAACAAGUGUAUAGAGGUACAAGUUUAAGAUGUUACCCUUUUCUGCAAACCUUCAGCCUCAGCAAGUAGCAUCUCAUGCUGUUCCAGUACCAUACAAUAUUAACGUGAAUGCAAUAUACAUAAAGAAGAAGGAAAAAUUGGCGAAAAUUCAGAGUGAAGCACUUAAAACUAAAGCUAGAAUGUUAAUUACGUUUUAGUACAUUGACUCAAUGGUCUAUGUCAAUUUUCACAUGAAGAAUAUAAUAGCAUAAUGACUUCUAGGAUUCGUAUGUAGGAAUAUUCUUUUAGGGACAUGAAAAAGGGAAAGAAAAUUUAGACUGUUGAAGGCUUGAAGAAACCCUCAAACACUACUCUCAGUUUCCAUUCGUUAUUGUAAAACUAGAGUUCUAGCGUAGACCAAUAUGGAGACAAUGUUCUACUACUUAAAGUUUCUCACUUUGUACAUAUAUGAUACCUCAAGUUUAUCACUUUGUCAAGAUAUGAUACUUGAUUUUACAAUAUAAUAAAUCACGAAGCACAAGGUAGCGAUUUAUCAUAUUGUAAAGUCAGAUAUCAUAUAUCCGAAAGUGAUAAAUUCAUGAUACAAUUUUACAUUUUUAGUCCUUUUUAUUUCUCUUCCCCAUUUUCAGUAUGGUCUUUUCUUUCCUGUCUUUCUUUAAAGGAAGUAAUGCAUGCAAAUAACAUUCAAUCUAUACAAGCUAUUAAACACAUGAUUCAACCUGCGAAUAUUCCCUCAAUGUAUCUUCCUUUUAUUUUGGGCAAAUUACACUUAUGUUACAUGUCUAACUUUCACUCUCAUCAUAAUUCGGCUUCUAAAGUAAUUGAGAUUACAAAUCCGUUAUAUCAACUAACUAAUUUUAUAUAAUGUCCACUCCAAAUUCAAAUUUCGGUAGAAAUUGGCCCUAAAAAUCUGAUCCUGCCGAUAACCCAAUCUGACCCAGCCGACAAACCAAUCAGACUCGAUUGGUUUUAUAUGAUUUGACCGUAUUUAGAUAUGAUUCGACUUCAAAAAAUAUUUAUAGGUGCAUUUUUAUUUGUGUUGUGGCAUGAUUGAAUAGGCCCAGAUGGUUCGAUGGCCCCCAGGCCACGUGGAGGAAUCUUUCUCGUGUAGGAAUAUAUUAUGGGCAGUAAGUAGAGUUUUUAGGAAUCUAUGAUUCCUGGUUGCAUUUAAUUUCUAAUUCAUAAGGAAAUAGUCAGGAUUAUAUUCGGCUUUCUUUCUAUAAGGAGAUUGACUCCUACCCCAGAAUGGUAGUUAUUGUGAUAAGGAAUUUUAGUCCAAUUCGGGGACGGGGAGUUAAGGGUGGUGUGAUCAACUAUAAAUACAAGGAUAUACCCUAAUUCACAGGUAACAACAUUGUUUUGAGCAUUAAAGCAUUAACCCUCCAUUGUUAACCUAUUUUUCAAUAUGUUCUUAUUCUCACAUCAGAGCUAUCCCCCGACGGCCUAGGGCGUCAAGUUCCUACGUGUGACUUCGUUUUUGUACAGGAUUGGACGUGUUCUGUGUGAUUGGACGCGUGGAUAAAUCUUGGCAUUAACAUUGGCGCUAGAAUGAGGGCCUAUUUGGUGCUUAUCAAUUCUCUCAAUCACCCAGAAUUGUAAUAGGAGUUAUUGUGACGAGUAAGGAAAACACAGUUCCAGGAUAGGAGAAAUCCUCUGCUCAACCCAAGGGUUUGGUCAAAGACAGGUUGGGACCCUCCAAUUAUGUCUCGGACAGACUCGAACCUAAGAGUCACUCCGUGGGCCCAACGAACGCUAGGACGACCCCAAUCAGACGACAAUUGUUCUCUGCCAGUUAGAAGGCGACAAACUCGCAUAGUCAUGUCGAGGAUACUCAGUCCCAGACACGUACACAGGGGGAUCGGAACUUAAAACACGACGAUCAGGAUAAAAGGGAACUGAUUCUGGCCAAGAAGAUGCAGGAGCAUAAGGAUGUUAUAGAGGUCAUGCGCCUUCAACAGAAAGAACUAGGCACCCAAAUGGCAACAUUGAUGCGCGUAGAGGAAAUUUCUCCGAGCUAUCAUCGUCACUAGGAAGCUAAGCCAGAUGACCGAUCCAGGAAACAUCGUUCGGAUGACUCUUAGUGCGAAAAGAGUAGGCGAUGAAGCCGCUCUCGGGAAGGUAGUAGCGAAGGUCGAGGGAGAACAGGACGUAAGCAGCGGGUGGCUUCACCGAAUCACAAUUGGGAUUGGCGUAAGUCAUCCCCCGAGGGAGGAAUCUGACCCCCUCACACGAAAAGUGACAGAGCUGGAACAGAAGCUAGCAACGGUCAAUCAGGAAAAUAAGGUGUCGGUUGAUCCAACAUCAUCCUUUACUCCGGAGAUAGAUUGGGUUCGGUCCGAUCCCAACAAAAAAGUUCUGCAUCUGGAGAGUUGCGAUGGUAAUGGCGAUCCCUAUGACCCUACCCAAGCGUAUGAUCGACUCAUAAGGUUUAAUGAUUAUUUUAAUGUUGUCAAGUGUUAGAUGUUCAUCACAGCCCUGACGAAGGAGGCUCGACAAUGGAUGACGUCGUAGCCGUCGAACUUUAUCUCGUCAUGGAAAUAACUCUGGAAUAAGUUUCAUAAUCGGUUCGAGAGUAACAAAAGAAGGGGAAAGUCGACAGCUUUCCUGAUGCAGAUAAUACAGCACUCAAACGAAACCUUGAGCUAGUACAUGAAGAGAUUUCGCGAGGCCGUUAAAGCAAUGACGGAUCUGAAUGGACCUCAGGCCCUCAGAUUCUUCAUUAUUGGGCUGGACGUGGUGAAGUCAAAGAAGUUGAUAAAGGAUAUUAUGUUCGACCCGCCAAAGGAUUUGUCCGAAGCUUAUGAUCAAGAGGAGAACUUCAUCGUUAUUGAAUAAUGUGACGCCCCCAAAAUAGGUCCAUUCCACCCAACCCAUUCUGAGUCGCCAAAUACAUGGUACAGAAAUAACUACAACUUCAAUAAUACAAAUGUCGUGUGAAAUACGACAAUACAUACUGUGAGUUUAAAUACAGAUAUUGCCGUCUAGACAAUAUCCACACGCAAAUAAAUCCCCAUCAUAAUUAUUGAUACAUUAUUUUACAAAAAUGGUGAGGACUACUAAACAACUCUCUCUAGAACCUUCAUUCCAUACCCCGACUCGAUCCUGCUAUGUUCUCACCUCCUGAGAAGAAAAUGGAACAACAAGGAAAAGGGUGAGCUCAACUAGCCCAGUAAAGAAUAUUAUGACUAAGAUAAUAUACAACAAAUUAUCGUUAGUCUUCAACAGGGAAAAAUCUAAUAGAAUACAAUAGACAACAAGUUUUAGAUCAACAAAUGCAGCGGAAACAGCAAUCCAUUAGAAGAGUCACGUAGAGAAAGAAUUCUACUGUCUUCUAAGGUUUAAAAGUCCAUCAUCAAUAUUUUAUCCCUGUAACAACAAUCAAUAUUCAUCUUUGCACUACAGGCCAAAGAUAUUCAUUUAAAUCACCAGUUGGUCAUGUUCAUCUCAACACCUGUUCAUCUUUGCACUACAGGCCAAAGAUAUUCAUCAGUUAAUCGUUCAUCUUUGCACUACAGGCCAAAGAUAUUCAUUUAUAUCACCAUUUAGGACUGAGGAUGAUGAAAAACAUUUUUAAAGAAACGAAUCCAGUGAAACAAAAUGACAAGGAUUAAGGAUUAAGGAUUCGUACUUUGUUUUACCCAUGUCCAAAAAUACUUCGAAAAUAAUCAUAUUGGUGUAAAAUUCAAGAAUGAUCAAAACAUGGAUACAAUCAAAGCUAGUAUCCAGAAUAGAUAUUUUGGACAAAAAGAAAAAUUUUUAUUUUUCGGUGAAUAGUGCCGUAUUCGUGAAUAGUGUCGUAUACGUGAAUAGUGCCGUAUACGUGAAUAGUAACCCCGACACAACAAGUUCCAAAUUUGAUAAAAAAGUUCACCAAUACUUCGGCAUAAUGAUAUUGAAGAAAAAAUAUCAUUUAAGAAGAAAAUAAUACCCCUUACCUCAAAAUAACCGUACUUCUGACUGAAUUUCGGUAUAGUGCUGACAGAAACCCGCACCGUAUAGCAACACUCAAAGUAUACUCACAAGAAUACGCUCGAUAAUUUAGAGAGAGAAAGAGAGAAAACUUAGUUUCUGGUGUGAUUUUCAAUUCUAACUUAGCCCUCUAUUUAUAGGAAAAUGUUAGAACGCCAAAGGAGACUAAAUUAAUAAAUUAUUAUUAUUUAAAAUUACAUUUCUACGCAUGCCAUUUGAACACUUCAGCCACCAGCCAACCUUGACCCAAUUUCCAGCAGCCCACAUGUUCAAACAAGAGUGGGUCCCACCCAUUAUUUAAUAAAAAUUAUUUUAUCUUCCGAAACUUCAAUAAUUCGUAGAAAAUAGCUCGUUUAUCAGAAAAAUUCGAAACUCGCGACUUUCCAUGGGAAAUUCCAUUCUCUACAACUUUGCAGAAGAAAAUUUUUCCAAAUUCCAAACAGAAAUUGACCGAAAUCCAUAAACGGACGAUUUUACAGUCUAUAAUCAAUUUUCGGUCAAGAAUUGUGUCCACCGACACACAAAACAUAUGUUAAACAUUUAAUGCCACAAAAUACUCUACCUCCUCAUAUACUCAUAUAUCCCACAUUCAUUAUAAAAAUAUCACCGUUAAUAUAUUAUUAAAAUAAUAUAUUUAAAUGAAUUAUUUUAUCAGAAAAAGAUAAAAUAUUAAUUUUCAACAAUUGUCACAUUAAAAAUUUUCUCCAUCUAUAUCCACAUAAAAUAAAUAUUUUCUUUAUCAUAAUAAUCAAUAAUUAAUUAUUUAAAAAUAAUAUUACAGAAUCACAGUACUGACAACCAGGCCGUUCCCAGGAAAGAGGGGGCUUUCCAAUAAGGAUUUCUCCUUACUGGCGCGCAAUUAGGUGACCAAACCUCUCCUUAGACAGAACUUUCUAGACAUUGCCAAUAAUGUUAUCUGAUAAUAUUAUUCAAAUAAUAUGAAUUAUUGAUUUGAUAAUGGAAAAUACUGUGUAAUGACAAUUAUUGAAACAACAGCAAUACAAAAUAUCAACGCAGCAAUUAUUGAAUCAAUAAAAUAUAAUAUUGAACAGUAACUACUGUAACAAUUAUUGAGUAGUGCCUUCUUACGUAAGGAUCAAUAAUUCAAUAAUACUGUGCAAUACCGUGUGCUACUGUGCAACCACGCAUAUUACUGUAUUUUAACCACCAGGUAACCCAACAGUGUUAACGGUAACAAUUUACGCCGUUAUUUAUAAAACUCAAUCUUAAUCUUUGUCGUUUUCUUUCAUCCAUCUGUUUUCCGUUAUGGGGCCCACAAAUGACUGCGCCGUCGUACGGAGAUUCUCGACAAUACGAAUAUUCCACGACCAAACGAAUAUUCCCCGAC